Molecule: long non-coding RNA, 56749 nt
Filed under: Theobroma cacao (cacao)
Lineage: Eukaryota; Viridiplantae; Streptophyta; Magnoliopsida; Malvales; Malvaceae
Description: long non-coding RNA (TCAC_LNC004835)
Source: RNAcentral
CUAGCAGUGUCUCUCAGCUUGCCUUCUGAAACCACAGCAAACUACCCUUACGCAUCUCCUCCGCCACCACCUCACUACUACUACAAGUCACCACCUCCUCCUCCUCCGGUGUACUCUCCGCCACCACCCAAGAUACCUUACAAGUACCCGUCUCCUCCCCCACCAGUACACUAUCCUCCACCACCUUACGAGUACAAGUCUCCCCCUCCUCCUCCCCCAGUUUACAAGUACAAGUCUCCUCCACCUCCACCAAAGCACCCCUACAAGUAUAAGUCUCCUCCCCCACCACCUCCAGUUUACAAGUAUAAGUCCCCUCCACCACCACCACCAUCACCACCCAAGCACCCAUACCAGUACAAGUCUCCACCUCCACCACCCCCAGUUUACAAGUACAAGUCCCCUCCACCACCACCACCAUCACCACCCAAGCACCCAUACAAGUACAAGUCUCCUCCACCACCUCCUCCAGUCUACAAAUACAAGUCUCCUCCUCCUCCCCCUAAGGAGCCUUACAAGUAUAAGUCUCCUCCACCACCUCCUCCAGUUUACAAGUACAAGUCUCCUCCUCCUCCUCCUCCAAAGGAGCCAUACAAGUACAAGUCUCCCCCACCACCCCCUCCAGUCUACAAGUACAAGUCUCCUCCACCACCACCACCCCAUUACGUCUAUUCAUCACCCCCUCCUCCUCACCACUACUAAGCAACGGCUUUGACCGUACUGAGGUAAAAAAAAACAAAGUUUCAUUCAACAAGAUAACAUACAUUUUCUUCUGUAGUUUUUUUUUUGCUUAGUACGUAACACCAUUUUUCAAUAAAUGUUUUUUCAUCUCUUCAAGCUGCAUAAUUAAAUCACAAUUUUUUUGCUUGUUUGAUAUUAAUCAGUUUAAUGACAAAAGCUCAAUGUGUUACUGCAGGAGAAGAUAAGAGUGUGAUCAAAAUAAAGGGACAAAAAUGGUUCGAAGAAACAUGCAGAGUGAGAGACAUAAAGCAGAAAGCUGGGAGCCCGGUGUCCACGUUUGAAGAGAAGAGAAGAAUAACGUAGACAAGUAGGAAAAUAGAGGGUUGAUCGUUUCCAUGUUUCACAGUUGUAUUGUUCAGUGGUCCUGCUUUGUUUUUUUUAUUAUUAUAUAAUAAAAAUCGUGUAUGUAUGUAUGUGUUUUGCAACCUUUUGCAAAUGCAUGGGUUGAUCCGUAAUAAUAAUAAUAAUAAAUCCAUUCCUCUCAAAAGAUUCUUUUAUGGUUCGUUGUUUGCCUUUUGAGUGUGAUGGGUUGAAUAGAGCUACCUUUUAAUCCAUAUUUUCUCUGCAUGGCUUUACAUGCAACUGGGGAUAGAAAACGCGUUACAAAAUUAAAAAAUAAAAUAAAAGAAAGGAAGAAAUCAUAGCGGCUUUUGCCUUUUUCUGUCUUCCAAUUAUGGAUUUGGUCAUGCAUGUUACUAUCAACCAAUUAGUUUAUAAUUAUUUCGAAGAAUUCCAUGGUAAAUUUCUUUUGGGUUUUUAUCCGUUACUGUGUCUUUGAAUGAUUAAUUGGCUUGUCAAUUGUUCUUUUUUUAGUGCUUACAGAUGGCAAAAAUUAAAUUAAAUUAAAUAAUGCGAGCUUAGGAAUCAAGAAAUGAGGAUUGACGUUGGAGAGUUUGUCUUUUAUAAUUUGCUUCCUUUUUCUUUGGGACUGAAAUACGCAUUUCUUUGCUCGACCAAUUUCUAUAUAAAAUCAUUAGGCAGGGCUUCGGUAUCCUUGAAAGCCAGAAUAUGCUUACCGACAUAUUAAAUUCCUCGAUAUUCUACCCAGAUCUGUCUUUAAACAAAUUGAGGCUGAAUUUUUUAUUCUUUAAUACACUUUCCAAAUAAAUAAUUAAAUGGGGAAUGAUCACUUGUAGCAUCUGCUUUAAAUUUACUAGAUUCAGCCACUAAAUAUAUAGUAGAUUAAGAGAUAAAAGAAGAUAAAAAAAGAAAGGUAUAAUUAACUCAAAUAUUUAAGACUAUCAAGUGCACUACCAAGUCAGUCCUUUUUACGCAUACUUAUUCAUUUAAAAACUUAAUAUAAUUUUUUUUUUGAAGGGCGACUUAAUUUAAGGGAAAGGAAAAGUUAUUACCUCCAACAUAAUAAAACUUAAAGUUUAAACAAAGCAUGUAUUAUAUGGUUGGAGAAUUUCUUUGAAGUAAAAUGAGAAAAGCAUAAUUGAUUCUGAUUAUCCUAUCAUCAUUUAAAAUAGGAUUUUUUUUCAUUCUACAUUUUAAAUAUUGCAAAAGGGCAUCGCGAAAUUAAACAGCCUAGUCUUUCUGUGUAGUACCAUAUGGCUGAAAGUUGUUGUAGUGGGUGGUUGAGUCUAUGCUCCUGAAGCUGGAAAGGGCACAAUUAGCAGUAUAUAAACACAAAUAACAGAACCUCUCCUUUUUUGGAAGCAAAUCUCAGUUCCCAAUAGAGUUUAAAGUUGCCUUACUUGGCUGGCUUUACCAACUUUGUCUUGACAGCAAAUCCCAUGAUAAGAGCAUCUAAGGUAGGUGUAAGGACUAGCAGCAGCCGCAACAACUCUAUGACUUUAGAGCCUAGUUUGACCAUUUUGUAUACUUCCCUGACCAUGUAAACAUGCAUGUUACACUCCUUUUCAUUACUGACUUUUAUCCAUCAAUAAUUUUCAAUGCACUAAAUUUUAAUAAAUAUAUUUAUUCAACAAUAUCAAAGUACAUUACAGGGACACGUGCAUGGAUUAUUUUUUAUGAGUAAAUUUUUUGUACGAAUCGUAUUAAAAGACUUACUGUAUGAGUUUUGAUGGUUACAUGUAUAAUAUAAAAAAAAACUAUUGAUUCAACUAUAUACGUAACUUUUGAGCCUUUGACCAAUUUGCAUAUUCCAAAAAUCUUACAGCCAUGUGUUUUCUUCUUUCUUUCUUUUUUUUUUUUUAAUUUUUUGAAAAAAAAAUCUCAUAAACGUAUUACACUAAUUAUUCGUUUCAGUAAUUCUUUUCAAGUAAUAAUUUUCAAUGCACUGCUUUUCAAAACAAACUAAUUUUCAAUGCACUAAAUUUUAAUGAAUAUACUUAUUCAACAAUAUCAAAGUCCAUUGCAAGUACACGUGCAUGGAUUAUUUUUUGAGUAAAUUUUUUGUACGAAUCGUAUUAAAAGACUUAUUGUAUGAGUUUCGAUGGUUACAUAUAUAAUAUAAAAAAAACUAUUGGUUCAACUGUACAUGUAACUUUUGAGCCUUUGAUCAAUUUGCAUAUUUCAAAAAAUUUACAACCAUGUGCAUUUUUUUCUUUUUUUUGAUAAGAAAAAAACUUGCAAACGUAAAACAUUAAUUAUUGAUUUGGGUAACUGAUCGUUUCAAGCAAUAAUUUUCAAUGCAUCAAAUUGAGAAAUGCGUUAUCGAUGGAUCCAAGUUUAUUAGAAGUUUACUUGCAAUGAGAUUGAAGUAUGAUCAGACGAAAUGGUUUUUCCCUCUUUUUAAUUUAUAUAAUUUUUGUUGGCUAGCUAAUUAAUUAAAUGAGAAAAUAAAUGGGGAAAUCCAAACAUGCUAAGCAGUGGCAUCAAUCAAUCAAGGUAUUAUAAUUAAUAUAUUUCCUCGAACCAAUUUUGGUCUUGAAUAGGAGAAAAAAACUUGUGGAAAAAAAUGGGAGUGGCUUAUAAUAUAUGAUGGGAUGAGCGAAAGAGGGCAGUUUGGUAAAAAGCAAAGGGAGGGGAAGAAGUGCAUGAUUUGGGAAGCCAUAAGACUAUUAGGAACACAUAUAUAAUUCGAUACUGUGGGAUCCACAUGAUUAAUAAAGUUUGGAAUCUUAAUCAAUGGUGGGGGGCCAUCGAAUAAAACAUUUUAUCGUGUAAAAUCAUGUGGGAAGUUUGAAGAGUCGAUGACAAGGAAAUAAAAUAUUAUUCACCUACUCAUAUAUGAAUAUAAAUAUAUAUAUAUAUAAUUUUUUCAAAAUAUAAAUAGAAUUAUCUUAUUUGUUAAUUUGUUACAGACAAAUGAUGUUGAUAGAGACACUAAGAUGAAUUAAGUUAAAUAGAUAUGAUUACAUGAUAUGAAGGCAAUGAAGUAUUAUUAGUUUCAAUUUUUCUCCCGUUUCUAUUAUUUUCCUUAUAAAUCCACUGUUAAAACACCCUGCCUUCAAGUUAUUGAAAGUUUUCACCUUUAACCCAGUCUAAGAUUUUUAACUAAUUUGACUAAAAUUGUAAUUUCCUAAAAGUACAUUAAAAAUCUAAGAUUAUUUAAUGGGGGUAAAAGGUAACUUUUUGAAAAUUAUAAUUAGUCAAAUAAUCAUUUAGCAGCCAAAACUUGACCAAUCAUGUUGCAUUGGGGUUAGGAUCGAUCUUGGGUAAUAAUAUUAACUCAUAUCGAUAAAUCAUAUGUCUUAGGUCCAAUUAAAAAAGAAGUUAAUAUAUAUAGAUUUCUAGAUCCCUGUAAAGAAUUUAAAAUUCUAGAGAGUACACAAAUUACAGGUGUUGCUGCUUGACUUUAUGCAUGUGGCAGGCGUAUUCUUGUAGUGAAGCUGUUUGCUGGGUUAAGGGAGCGGGAUUUUUUCUUUGCAAGAUUUAGAAAAUCCUAGUUGUAUGUGUUAGAUUUAAUUAAUUAGCUGAAUUUGGAAUAAUUGAUAAAACAGUUAACAUAUUAUAAAUAACAAUGUUAAUAAUUGCUUCCUUUACAUUUAAUAAUACUAUUAAAUUUUUUGCAGAAACUGAAAAAAAGAAUUAUAUAAAGAAGAGGCAAACAUGCUUUAACAUGGACCGUCUCAUUUUCUAGCAGUAUGCAUACAUGUUUAUACGUGCAUAUAAAUUUAUUGUGCAAUAAUAUUGGAAUUCAUUCAAGUUGGGACUAAAUUAUUCAGUUAAACCAAGUAUAGUAAAUCCCUUAAAAAUAUGAAUUGCUUGAGCUUAAAACAUUUAAAGUUAAAUUACCAAUUUCCGUGUGAUUGUAUUUGAAUGAGUGCUACCAAAAUUUAUGUACAUGCAUUGAGACAUUGGACAGGGGAUGCUUCCUGUCAUUAUAGAAUUUAGCAAGAGUAAAGUGUCUCAUUUACCAACUUGCAAGAGAUAUUCUCGAAAGAAACAGUUGACGGAAUAAUAAGGCUGUCCAGUCCCCACCAUGGGAAAAGAAGAAAAAUGGCGCAUGCGUUGGAUUCUUCACCAAUGGAAAAAUAGAUAUAAAAACGAAAAAAGAAGGCCCAAGUAGAGACAAUCAGAUAAAUAUCAUGCCCAACAUGUGAUCAUCAUAAUUGUCAUGGAAAUUAAUUGAUUUUUUUUUUUAAAGGUCCACCAAAAAUUGUUUUUUCUUUUGCCUUUUGCUUCUAAAUUUACAUGCAUAUAUAUUCUGGGUACCACUGUAUAGAUAAAGACAAUUUAAAUUCACCAACUCUACAACCCCCCAUGUAUUUAAAGCAGCCUUAAUUUUAAGUUAUUUCCAAACAAUUUUUCCUUUCAGACUCCCACUAGAUGGUUUUCUUACAUUCACUUCGCUUUUGUUAUAUAUAUAUACAUAUUUAUUCCUUCUUUAAGUUUUAUAAGCAACAAAUAAAAAAAAGUUUAAGGCAAAUAAUUACAACACUUUGCAAACUUUUGAUUAUCAAGCAAAAUUAUAUUUUAUUCCUGUAAGACAGCUGGUCGAUGAUUUUCAGGAGUGAAGAAUAAUGGAGAAGGCCAUUUGCAGGCCGAUUGUACCAGAUCAGGUCAACUUCUUCUGCCGAAUAAUUUCCUCCUAAUUGAUAAGGAUGGUAGAUACAAUUAAUUAAAAAAGAAUUAAAAGGGAGCGAUUAAAUUUUAUAUUUUCUGCACUCCAAUCCAAAAUUUUAAUCUUUUUAAAUGAAAAGAAAAGAGAGCCUACACAUUAUAUGUGUUAAUUUAUGACACUUCUCAAUUUCCUAAAUCAGGUCAAUUGAUGCUAAUGCUUUGAAAUAUGAUCAAAAUAUAUUAAAAUAUAUUACUCUCAAAAUGAAGUUAAUUUAUAAAAAAAUGUCAUGACAGAUGAAUUUAAUUUUCAAAAUCAAUAUUUUUAUUCUAUGUAUAUAUAGAAAAAUAUUCAUUAGAUCUUAACCUUUGGACAUAAUUAAAAAUAACGAAUUUUUUUAUCGAUUUAACUUAAGUUUUAAAUUCUAGAAUGAGUUAAAUUUCAAGAAGGACAUAACAAAUGGUGAGUUGCAAAUGAAUUCAUUGAAUUUUAUGAAAUUUGUUUGUUUCGCAUACUACCUUCAUUUUGAGAUUAAUUAAUAACAAAAAAAACUCACUUAUUGCUAUCAUUUUGUCCUUCUUUUUAACUUUCUUCAUUUAUUUUUUCUUUUCUAACAAAGACUAUACGAAAAGAUUAAAUAUUCUUUGCUUUCUUUCCCUUUUCCCUUUACUUUUUCAUCUUUAUCAAGGAUGGUGUGAACGUCUAAAAGAAGAUGCAUGGUUGGGUCCAAAUUAACGUAGGAGAAAGUUGAAAACCCUCCAGCUGCCUCCAAUAACCACUUUCUCCAAUUAUAUAUGAUUAUAUAUAAAGCUUAAUGCGGAUUACGUGGUUUUCGGAUUUGGUCUAAGGAUUUUCUAUGUAUAUCAUAAUCAUGCUUAAUUAAAUUGUUACAUUACGGCUGAUUAUUUAAUUAAGGCAUGUUUGUGUGCAACCAGACAUUCAACAUGAACAAGAUUGGAGAAUUAGAAUUUUUUUUUCUCUUUUUUAUUCUUACUGUAAUUAACUUUGAGUCGUUAAUGAAUGACAUAUUUCGAUCUAGAUCCAUUUGUACUAGAGAAUUGAGUAUUGACAGGAACACUACUUCUUAGGUCAAAUCUCAAGGUAAUUUUUAAAUUUUUGUUAGGCAUAACUAAACUGUAAUUAAAUUUUAAUUAUAAAGUAGAAAUUAAAAUGAAGACAAAGGUGAGGAGGGAUUAAUCAAUCUGUUUUAUUGUUCCUCUUUUGAUCUGGUAAAUAUAUUUAUACCCUCUUUUUGGUGAGAAGCAGGGAGGGUAACGCAAACACCAUGAAAUUAAAUCGACCAUUUUUUAUUGUUACACUGAUUGAAAGGCUAAUUAACAUUAUGCAUUACAGGAUGAAUAAUUAAUUUCCAACCUAUUAAUUAUUUGAGUGUAAUUUCUUGAGCUAGCUGGGUAGCGCUGUUGCCUUGCGCAAAAGAAAAAAAAAGGUAUUACUCGAAUUAAUUAAUCCUUUUUGAAAAUGGAAAAGCCAUUACAUGAUAAUCCAGGUCAUAAAAUAAAUAAAUGAGGAAGAAUUUUCUUCUUUGUCUUUUUCAAAUAUGUAUUUCUCUAAAAACCACUUGAAUUCUGUUCGGUUUUUCCAUUUUUUUCCCUCCUUGCGGAUAUUUAGUAAACUUUAAGUGGUUCGUUUGGAAUCUUUGGAUUAAUUGAUUCUGCCAUUGCACGUGGUUUGUAGUCAUUUUCACUAUAUUGUAAAGCAGACAUGUAGCUAGCUAGAGGGAGACAGUGAAUUUAUAGCUGACUUUAUGUAAAACAAAGCCAACUAGCUAGCUUGUCUAAUUAUAAGUACAACCCAUGUGCAUGAAAAUCGAAAUUAUUUACAAAUAUGUAAACAGAAAAGAGAGAGAGAGAGAGAGUUCACCAAAUUAUAUUGAUAAAUAUUGUUCCAUGUAGACCAUUAAUUAUAGUGAAGCUGCGAUGUCACAUUCCAAUAGAAUUUUAUUCCUCUCUCUAUCAAUUCCAAAAUCAUAUGAAAACAAUUAAUACCCAUCUUCGCUUUAAAUUUAUUAAAUUUAUUUUGUGACAUGCGAGAUCAGGAUUUCAUUUCGUUUUAAAAAUAAAUGGAGAUUUAUGUGUGUAUGAAAAUUGCCCACUUGCCCCUCCAUUGGUCCCAAACUGAAAUACUAUAAUUCUCAAUAUCUAUAACAUGUACUAUAAGCGACCAGACAGUAGGCCACCAUAUUGUUUAUAGUUCAUUGGCCUUUUUCUUUUUGAUUUCUCUUUUGAUAUGUACCACACACAUAUAUAUAUAUAUAUAUAUAUAUAUAUAUAUAUUAAAUUAAAAAAUUAUAAAUUCAACGACGCUCCAACUCCACAUGAUUUUAAGUAGUCUUUUUCUAGAAUCCAAUCAAAUGGUUUUCAUUUUUUUUUUCAUUAGUUGCAUAUAUUUAUUCUUUUUUUAGUUUUAGGGUAUAAAAAAUAAGUUAAGCUAAUAAUUGAUAUACAGUUUGAUUAUUGAUCGUAUAUAUAUUUCUUUAGUGCCUGCAAUUUUGUAGCAUAAGAUCAUGUACCAAAAAAAAAAAAAAAAAGAAACAGACUACUUGUUCCAUAUGAUGUGUUUUUCUUAAAAAAGAAAAAGACAAAGGAAAGUGCAAACAGUACUCAUUUCAUUUAACAAGUCUCGUCACUUGAUAAUUUUACCCAUUUUCCCCCUUUCUUAGUAUUUUCUCUCUAUUCAACCAAAUAUGUACAAAUGUUCAUGGGUGGAAUACAGCUGACACCUAAAAAAUUAAAACCCAAGCCCGAUUCAUAUAUAUAUAUAUAUAUUAAAGCGAUUUUAUUAGCACUAGAAUCCAAUGUUAACUAGAGUCUCCAUGCUUAGUAAAGGUUUCCUUUGAUGUUUAAAUCUUGUCUGUGCUUCCUUUCACUAUACAUUUACACUUUAUACUGCCUCUCAAUAUAAUAGUGGCAGUUUCUCAUCCGUAUGUGGGGCAAAACAUCAAAAAAGAGCUCUGUAUCCAUUUGACCUUACUUCAGUUAUUUUUAUUAUUAAAAUAUUAAAUGUAUUUUUUAAAAUAUUUUUAACCAAAAAUAAAUAAAAACAUCAUAUUUAUUAAUAUUCUAGUAACAUGGGACCAAUCGGACCUGAACCUAAAAAUUGUUGUUCAAAACUUGAGUCUAAAAAGAUGAAUAAGUCCAUUAUUCUAUUUGUUGCAAGCAAGAAGAAGAAAAAGUAAAACUUUGCUUCGGACAUUUGUUCUAAAUGUUAGUCCAUUUCAUGGAAUUACUAAUAUAAUGUAAGGUGAGGGUUUGGUCCAAAAAUAUACCAAUAUUCUUGUUAAUUUAAAACUUUUCACCCUCUCUCUCUCUCUCUCUCUCUCUAUAUAUAUAUUAUAUAUUAUAUAUAUAGUUUANCUCUCUCUCUCUCUCUCUCUAUAUAUAUAUAUAUAUAUAUAUAUAUAUAUAUACAUACAUCAUCGAAUUAAGUAGAAAGAUUUCAAAGCUUCUACUUUAUGAAUUUUCCCUAAUCUAGUUUAUCACUUUGUUUCUCAUUACGUGCACUACUUACCUUGUACCUGUGCUUCUCGCUAGCUCUCCACCAACAUUAAAUCAUGUCACUCACUCGUAAAUCAAAUCAUUAAAUCUGCAUCUCUUUAUGCGGACAAUAUGUGCAAAAUUCCACAUUUCUCUUCUCUUUCCGAAGAGGUGGGGUCUUGUGGCCGGGGGAUAUAUAUAUACAGAAACUUUAGCUUGAGGACUUGUUUACAUCUAGAUUAGCAGUGAAUCUAGACGCGAACACGUCCACAGCCUCCAGCUAAUUUUUAGAAAAUUUUACUAGGCCUAACAAACUUAUUAAUCAGGUUUUGCAAAGUAUCCAUAAACUCCAAAUCAAGUUGAUGCAUGCCCUCCCCUCCUAACCUAUACUUCAAAAUCAACAUUCAGCAGCUUCACCUGCCACUGCAUUUGAUUGGUUUGGAAUUUAGUCACUCUAUCUGUACCUACAUUUUCUAAUUAUAAUGAUUGAUGUUUCAAUUAAAAUAAGUAGUAGUAAGAUCAACGGCUGACUUGUUAGGUAAUGUGCCUACACACAGAUGAAUUUCUGGACCUACCCGAUGAGCAAAGGCAGCUAGACUACAUUUGUUUGCCCAACCAAAUUAUACUAGGAAGAAGAAAGAAAUAUACUAUUGAUAUAUGUCUUUGAGCUAAUUGAAUUGGUUAAGAAAUAUAUAUAUUAUCAUUUAAUGUAUAUUUAAUCGCAUAAUUAUAUGUGAUAGAGGUUUUUCUUCAUAUUAGUGCAAUAAUAAGAAGUUAUUAAGUACUAAUUAGAUAAAACCCAUGGAAUAUAAAGGCCUUGCAAGGGAAUUGUAAAAUUAUUACAAUUAUGAGAUCACUAUGCAUCAAAGUCAUAUUUCUAAAAUUGUUCCUGGUCAUUGUAUUGUCAAGACAAGGCAUUGACAAUACUCAAAGACUAGUACAUGUUAAGCUUCCUUACUUGGGAAGUAAGCAAUCGAUCUCAUAAAUUGAAGUAUAUGGGAUACUUGGGGAUAACAUAUAGGUGCUUGUUAAAGAACAAGUUCACUGAAUAUGACCCGCUAUGAGAACUUUAUUUGGUAUUUUACUCAAGUGUCUAUGAGAAAUAUUCUCAUGUGAUAGUCGUGCAACUAGUUCUUAGACUUGAGACACUAGGUCAUCUUGUAUGGGGAAUGAUAUAUUUUGAUUUCAUCUCUACGGGUUUGGAAGCAACCAGAUGCCUAAACAGGGUGCUUUUGGGUAUGCCAUGAAGCAUGCGAAGGUGAAUAAGUGGUCAAGAGAGAAUUCAUCACCCUAAGUGAUAUGAGGAGAUGUAUCUCACUUGUUCUCAAUUCUUGAUUAACUUGUAUAAAAUUUUUGAUCAAAGCAUGAUGAAUUUGAGGAAAGUUAGUUUUCUAAAUUCAUAAGGUUAGUUAUGAAUUAUGGGAACUAAUAUAGAAUGUUAUAAGUAGACACUGAGCCAUACUUAAUGACAUAUCUAGGAUAUUUGAUGAAAGAACCGUAUUGCACUGAGAAGCUUAUCACUGAAGUGUUUUGUCAAAUUCUUUAAUUGACUUUCUAACAUUUGGGUGGUCAUGAUGUAUUGUUAGAUGCUGCUCAUGGUCUAUAAAUAUAAAUUAAUUAUCAAAUUGAUAUUUUAUUAUUAUUUAUAUUUAUUGCCAACAUAUUAGAAGCCUAAUGGGUCACACACAUUAAGUGACUUGAUUGAGAUUAAAUAAAGAUAAUUAAUUAAGUUGCACUUAAUUGAAAGAGACCAAAAUAAAGUGAUAAAUUAAUUGAGUUUUCAGGGACUUAAUUAAAUUAACAUACAACUGUUGUAUUUAGGGUUACAAAUUAGUUUGGCUAUAUAAAUAUAUUAUAUUAGCAAACUAGAUCAAGAAGCCUCAAAACCACUUCUCAACUAUUUCAUAAAAUAAAAAAAGAAAAAUAAUUUUCUUUAUCUGACAAAAAUAAAAUUCAGCAAGAAUUUUGGUCUUUUGUUUUAGAAACAAUACUUACUAGCACAAGUAAAAUCCUACCUUUGAGAAGAUAUUAUUCAGUCAGUGUGUGGAUUACUGUUAGAAGCCAAAUACUUGGGUGGCUAAAGAUUUGACAAAUCCUAAAGGUGAAGAAGCAAAGAUUUGGAUUUAAUUGACUUUUGAUUACGAUAUCUAGAGCAAAGUAUGUAACUCUUAAACUUAUGAGUGUUCAUUAUUAAUUUAAAAGUUAUAUGAAAAACACAAAUAUUGAUCCUGUAAGAUUCGACUGUUUUUUUGAUUAAAUAUUAUUUUAUUUUUUCGUUGCGUUACUAUUUUAAUUAUUGAUUAUUUUCAUAUUUGAGUAUGAGGUCGAAUCUCAGCAUAUACAUGGUCCAAUCCCUGUUUUGGCAUUGGGAUAUGAAUCUUUUGCUAGAUACUUUAAUAUAUGUUUACCUAAGCCCUAAAUGUACUUAGUUAAUAUAAUCAUGAAGAUAGAUUUGCCCUAAACCUUUAGCUAGUAUUGAGAAUUGUUUCUGGUCAAAACUCAAAAUGUAAAUAGUAAAUACCACUUUUGUGGCAAGUAGUGUUUUGAGGGAAUUGCCAUGUUUCGAGUGUUCCUUUUCAUUAUCUGGUUGGUAGCCCUUACAUGUCUAUCAGUCUGUCUGUCAGUCAUUUUCACCUCGGAAGAUGGGAGUCAACAGCAGACUUCAUAAGAAAGCAAAAGCCAACGAACAAAUUCUAAUAAGGAAUAACAAACCUCAUUUUCUUUAAGUGGUGCAAGUUGGUGGGACAUAAUAUAAUUCAAAUCAUAAUUUUGUUUAUAAAUAUGCAAACCAAAUAACAAAACCCUCCUCACACACAUUUUUAAUCAAGCAUGGAUGUGAUCUCUAGGCCAGGUGUAUCAGUUUUCAAUUUUUAUAUAAUUUAAGAUUUAUUAUAACAUUUUUUUUUGAGAGAGAGAGAUUUUAUAUCUAUAGCUGUUUUCUUCUGUUUUUCUUUUAUUAAUUUCAUUUUAUUGAAUGAGAAACAUGAAAAAGGAGAAGAACUUUAAAAUGGGGAAAAAAAAAUACUUGUAUGAAAACUGCAUUGCGCUUAACCCCUUUUAUUGGUUCGAGACUUAAAAUAUAUAUAUGAAAUUAUGAAUAUAAAUAAUGCAUUUAUAAAAGGCAGAAAGGGACUGUGAUUGACUUCUAAUUUGGAGACGUGUUAGUCUUUUUUCCCCUAAUUUUAUAUAAUUCAUUGUUCAAUAAGAGAGGACUUGGAUUGAACCGGAUGCUUAAUUGUAUGCAAUUUUCUAUACUUUGUUGAAGUAGUUUCUAUGCAAAUUUGGACGAGAAAAUAAGAAAACCAUGGCCCAAAGAUGACAUGGAAAUGGUCCACUUGGCCUAAAAUUUUCUCAAAGUCAAACGAUUCUGAGUAUUGAUUGGAUUAUUAUUAUUUUUUAUUUUCAUUAAAUAAAAUAUAGUAUUAGUUAAUAAUGAAAAAUACUUAAAGUUAAGAGUUUCACUUAACAGUAAAUAUACGUAUCCUCGUAGAAGAGUUGUCGGAUUGGAAUCUAUCAAUCUAAUACUGUGAAAAAAUUAAUUAAUAACAACUUGUACUUCUUACUUCUUUUAUUACAUAAUAAUAAUAAUAAUGAAAUUUAAAGUUACCAUCAAAUUGGCUCUAAAUUAAGCUGUGCUUACUUUCCAAUACACGCUCCGCGUCAAAUUGCAGGACUCCAUGAGAUUCUUCAGCUAUUUAUCAAACUUAGUUAGGCAUGCCCCAACCUAUCAAGCUCAAGCACUCUCCUUAAUGCUCUAAUAUUUCUUGGAGAAUCAUUUCAUCAAUUAUUUUAACAAAAUUGUCACAUGCUAAUAAUUUUAUUCAUGACCACUCAAGUGUGACAAUUUAUAAUAGUUGUGACGUUUUCAUUCAAGAUCAGAAAUAACUUAAGUAGGUCGUUUGAGGUAUUAUUAUCCCAAUAAUAGUCCCACCCACUUCUACAAUGAGGGUUCUAAGUUCGAAAGUUUUUUCUCCUUUAAUAAUAAAAAUGAAAAGAAAAAAUCCUAAGAAAAAUGUCUACUGAUUAUUCUGUUAACGUUAUCUAACAAACUUAAUACUUUCAAUGUAGAUAAAUACAGUGUCCUUUUAUUUAUUAAAAAUAUAUCGAUAAUUUUACUAAAAAAAAUCGACGACAUAACUCUUUUUUACAAUUAAAACUUAAUCACGAGAAACUAUUUGUUGAAACCAUAGGCAGGUGGAACGCUGAUAGAAGGUGAUUCGAUGUGAAUCAAUCCAUGUUAGAAAGUGCAAGCAUUUUUUACAAGAGCACCAUGGUGACUCAGCUAUGUGAAAUGCUUACAUAACAGAUUCAUUUGAGGGUAAAUUAAUUUACAGGAUAAGCCAGUCCCAGUGUUAAAAUGCUGGCGGCCGCUUGUCUCGGAAGAGUUUGCUGCUGUUUUUACGGUUUCUUCUGCUCCGUAAGUUGUUUAAGCAUUUUUCUCCUCCCCUUCUUUCGAGCCAACUCGUAUUAAAAUCCAACACCUGUGUCUUAUCUUGGAAAUUCGGUAUCAUAUUACUUGGAAGCAUUUUCUUUUUACACCAUCUUCAAGCAAGAGACUUAACACCGUCAUUCGAAGAAAAAAUAGACAAACAAAACAAAAUUACAAAUGAGCAUUUUCUUUGUGCCUUUCGUAUAGUAUAGUAUAGCAUAGCCUUAGUGAAAUUCACUUUCCCUCAAAUUAUAAAAUAUAAGACCUCUAUAACUAUCCGACGAAAAGAAAUCUUCAAAUGUGUCAAUCAGGUUACGUAGAUACCAAAAUCUUCAGUUGCCAUUCACUGCUUCCGUUGUUUCCUGUGACACUCUUUAGUUAGAUGCAAAGAAAUGGUGCUUCUAAAGGAAGGCUUAUCUGAUUGUCAAAAUUCUACCUUAACUUCUUCAAAAAGUGUCUCAAACUCAGCUGUUAUCUCAGAGAAGGAAGGUCGCUUGUCUGGAGCCGCUUCCCAGCAUCUCUGCAUCAAGUCUAAGAGUUUUGGAUGUGCAGCCUCAGGAAGAUCUGGACGCAAGCCCUGAUAAAAAAUAAUAAGACCAAAAAAAAAACACAAGACAUCAAUAUUAGAAGAAGAGCUUUUGCCCCAGGUUAACAGUCCUACUACAUGGUGGCCGUGUACACUCCUGGACAAGAACAUGCUUGUAGUGAAAUCAAAAUUCCAAGGCCCUUUUCAUUGUUUUGUGAUGUAGGUUUCUUUCUUUUUGGCAGAACCCCAUGACUUUAGCGUUCUAAUAGCAGACACCUAAACUGUAGAUAAUGUACAGGGAAUUGACGUUAUCCUUCACUGCAGAUGUGCUUAAAGCAUCAAUACUUUGGAGGUUUCUUUCAUAACAUCAACAGAUUCAAUGCCUUCUUAUACAGGUGACAGCUCUUAUAAAUCUUUCCAUUUAUAGUUGAUGUACCCAAAAAAUUGGAACAGUUCAAUAGAUUGGUAGUGUUCAUUUCCAAGUCACAGCAUACUGACCCUUCAGAAGGCAUAGACAUUUCAGACCAGAUUUCAUGCAGCAACAUGUAAACUAAGAAUUUUUAUUGCAAAAGCAAUCAAGUAUAUACAUUCCAAGUGCACUUAUUCACUAAUAACCAUAAGGAAGCUGCUUUAAUCAUGCUUGAAAUUGAAUGAAAAAAUCAACAAACAUUAGAAUACAAUUGCUUCCAUGCAAUGAAUGAUGCAGUAAUAACAUAUACUAGAGAAACAAAUCCAAAAUUCAAUAAUAGAUCUCGGAUACUGAGAAACUCUUCAGUCUUAUACUAAACAAUGAUAUAGUUUAAAUAAUAUUUAACUCCAUCAAUAAAACUGCAAACCUGUCUCACUCCCAAGGCAGCUUGCAAUGGAGUCAUGGUAGCAUAUGGAACCUGCAUACCACGAUAAAAUACUUUUCAGAAGUAUAACUUCCAAAUCUUUAAAAUCCAAUUGCUCAUCAACUUUCUUCAAUUUCAGGAAAUACCUUGGCUGUCACUAGCUCCCACAGUACAACAGCAAAACUGAAUACAUCUGCUUUCUGAUCAUAUGGCUGAUGGUUUAUGACCUUGUCAGAGAGAAAUAAAGUAAGAAGAUGAUAAAAUACCAACAUAAGAAGUACAUACGAUGAAGGUUAAUGUACACAGCGUGUAAGCCAAAACUAUAACACAUAACCAGGGGCAUAAAUAGAACUUGAAUCAUUAAAUCUGCAGCUCCUUUCAUUUUUAGCGGAAAACACAUGGAAGGAACAAAUUAUCCAAAUAUUAGAACAUUAAUAAAAGACCAGCAGAUAGAGGUAAUUUCCACCAAUAGUUACAUUUGUUAUCAGAAUCAUCAAAUGUUUACCACGUUUUGAAAUAAUUAAAGGAUGCAACCACAGGCCCUCAGUCUCCUCAGCGGGAAAAAAGAAAAACAAACAUUAGAGAUACACACCUCAGGUGCCAUCCAUCUAUAUGUCCCAGUCUCAGCUGUCAUUACUCCUCCUUGGUUCUGGAACCGAGCGACACCAAAAUCUGCCACCUUAACAACCUUGAGAGAAAACAUAAAGUUCUUAAAUUCAGAAAACAAAAAAUGUCACAAAAAGCUCCCUUUAAACUGUGAAAUAAUCAAUUAACACGUGCCAAUACAGACUACAACCAGCUAUUUUAGCUGUCUACCCUAUUAAAAUUAAAAAAAAAUCAUUCUAGGAGACAAAUAUAGCAUGAGAGAUGGAUCAAGUCACUAAAAGCAUAACAAGGACUUGUGCUAAUUUAGUAACAAACAUAGUCAACAGAAAAUGUAUCACUGGCCAUUGGAUUUGUAGGAAGGAUCAGCUCACAUAUAGGAGUCAAUCCAGAUACACAAUGCUAAAACACUUGUUAGUCUCUUCUCUUCUUUUGUGACUGAGAUCCUUGCUUCAUGGUUUAGCUAGUUUAUUGCUUAUUCACCCUGGCUUUAAUGCUCUUACCGAAGCGAGCUUCAUAUACAGGACCCCUUACUCAGGGUAUUGAAGUAAAUUUUUAUUACAAGCUGAAACCCAACAAAUUUUAUAACCUUCCAAACUCUCCAUCAGCAUUAAAAUUCUUAGAAACUUAACCACCAAAAUGAGAGAUGAAUGGAAAAAUCAACAUUACUUGCUCGAUUCAUAACAACUUGCAUAUUAGGUCUACUAAUGUAACUUUUACUAAUCAAAAUUCCACAUCCUACCCCAAAUUAACUCCUAUUCGCAGAAACAUUACAACUCCAAAAGCAGGAGGUUUUCUUGAGACAGAUUUACAAAAUCAAAGUUCAAAUUAUAAUACAUAAAGCAGCAUAUGCCAAAUACAACUAAAUGAAACCAGUGAAGCCACCCUACAACUUGCUACUUAUGAUGAGUCUAAAUAGCCACAAUGUCCUACAAUUAAACAUGAAAGGCUAGCCACUCCCCGAACCCCUCACAUGCACUUGGUUUGCCAACUAAACAAUUCUCAAAAGACAAUAAUUUAUGAUCUAGAUCAUGGCGUAUACUUUAAUAGUUCAAAACCUGAAUGGCAUAUGUCACUACUCCCCUGACAUUUUUUUUUUGAUGAUCCAAAUGCUGAUUAGGGUGCAAUCAGUUAGAACCGCAAAAGGAAGUCACUACCAGCGUAAGAUACCAUUAGAAAUAAAGUGAUUCUUACUCAAUAAAGCCACUUUCAGGUCAACCUAUCCUUUAAAAGCUUUUAAAAAAAAAGUGUCACGAAAAUACACAUGAAUCAUCCAGAGAGAGAUAGAGAGGAGAUUGCAGAUACUUAGAACCAAUAUGAAACAUACCUCAGUUGCAUAGACAAUAUUAACGUGAUGAAAAAUUAUUUAGUGCUAUGUUACCACAGACACUUGAACUAAUCUCCUAAAUAGAGGAACACAACGCAAUAGAAUUCAUGUCCAUAAAUAUCUGAUUAAGGGUUAAAAAUAAUUCAUGACAUAACUCUAAUCUGCUCUCUAUAGAGAUAAGCAUAAGGAUUUUCACUAGCAUUCUAUUCACUAACCCAAUGCAUGCAAAUUCAUAUAAUUAGUUUACUAUCCUUCAUGGAAGUUUUACCCUUGUUAAGAACUUUUACAAGGGAAAACCCAACUCUUCCAGAUGUCAUGGUUCUGGUUUACAACUUAAUCUUCUGUCAUGUUGCCCAACACCUAGAACAAUUUAAUUAUUAGAAAAUCAGAUAAACUAAUCCCUUGAGCAUGCUUAUAUCGACGAUAUCAAAAAAAAAUUCUUACAUUGUCUGUAUCCAUUAGCAAAUUUGCUGUCUUCAGGUCCCGAUGGAUUAUGUGGUUUUGAUGCAAAUACUCCAUCCCUUUGCAGACAUCAAUAGCAAAUUUCAGCAGCUGAGAGAGCUUCAAGACAUUAUGAUUCUUAUGCAAAUAAUCAUAUAGGCUUCCCCCAGGCAUAUAUUCUGCAAACAGCAAUAUGUGCUAGAAAAUGAGAAUCUAGAUAUAUAUUUGAAAUUAAACAGACUCUAACAGCUGCAACAACAAGUGUACAAGUGAUAAGAGGGUUCAAGGGAGGGGAUGGGGGAUUGGAAGCUCUCAAUUACUAUCAACUACAAUAAUUCUUUUAGUUGCUCCAAUUUAAGUUGACACUUAAAAGAUGUUCACCAACCCCAAAAGGAAAAUAAAAGAACAGAAGGCCAGCUAAUAAGAUUUACUAAUAAAAAAAAUUAUGAUAACGUAAAACUUUGCUCAACUGAUGACCGCUGAACAAAGAUCUCCAGAAGACUUGGUUAUCUUAGCAUGGAACUAACACCACCAAGCGUAUGACUCUUCCUUCCAACUGAAUACUCCACAGCUAGUACUUGGAGAAAACUUAUACAAUAAAGCUCCAAAAGAACCUUGAUAUUUUAAUCAAAUUAAUUCUACCAUGACCUAGCAGCAAUUAAUUGAAUCUGCAUAUGUCCGACAGAAUUAUUUAAGUCCAGAAGUUUAAAACACCAAUACCUGCAACAAACUUUUUUACACCCAUUGGAUUUCUUUUCAGAAUUUUUCUUUUGUUUCUUUUUUGGUGGGGAAGGGGGAUGUUGACAUACAACAAAAUUGCUGGAACCCGAGAUGACAGAUUGAUAGUGGUGAAGAGAACCACAAAAGAAGCCUAAUUUAAUUCAAAGAGGCUAUUUCAAUUCCUCAAAAGUUUCAUACCUGUCACUAUGCACAAAUUUGGAGAUUUUGUACAGGCACCAAUAAAACGAACAACAUUUUUAUGCUGGACCUCUCUGCACUCAAGAACCCAGAAAUAAGAUUAUAUCCAUAUGGUAAUGGUCCUACAUAAAUACAAUUGCACUGGAAAACAUCAAAUAUAUACUAUAUCAGAAAUUAGGCAAUAGAUUAUUAAUCUAAGAAAAAAGGCAAGGAAAAUACUUAUAUUCACAUAUAAUUUAAACCCUUUUAUUUGCUUGUAAAACAAGUUUAUCCUCAAUAAAACUAAAAUUAAAUUUAACUUAACAGAGAAAGCUACCAAUUCUCGAGGGAGAAAGAGAGAUAGAGAAAUGCAUACAUAGAAAUGCUAUUUGCUGACAUACUCCCAAGGGGGAAGAGAUAGCAUUAUAAAUCCUUUUAUUAGUUAGUAAAGUAAGUUUAUGCUUGCCAAGUAUAAUGAUUGCUCCAAGGUAGAAUCUAGGCAAAGACAAAGCUACUUCUACGACUAGACAACCUAUGAAGCACGGACAAGGCUCUACCCUCCUAGUAUUUGUGUUGUAUUCAUGUAGUAUCCAUGUCCAAUACAGAUACACCAAACAAUUAAAAGAAAUUUAUUAUUUCAGACACAGCAUGGAUAUGGCAUGGACACCACUGGAUAUGGCAGUGAAGCCACAAAAAUUAAAAGAGAGAGAGAAGAAAAGAGAGAGAAGUAUCCAACAAUUCAACCUUCCUUACUUUGGGCUCAAGCACUGGUAGAGCCAAGGGGGUGGCAGGUGGUGGCAACCACCACCUCUCAAUUUUUAAUUUUUUUAAUUAUUAUAUGUAUAAAACUUGAUACAUAUAGUAUAAUUACCCUUAUAAUUACCCUUUAGCCACCUCUCAUGCAACAUCAUAGAUUCACCACUGUCAAGUGCUAUUGUUCUAUGUGGGUGAGACUCAGAUUAGAGGUGAAAAGUUGGUUAAAAGAUUAUCUGAUAGAUAGAGUGGAAGGAGAUGCAGCAGAUGCUGGACAGCCUACUGUACUGGAGAAGAUGGAGAAAAAAAAGUUAAUAUAGUUAAGGCUGAAAUAAAAUUGGGCUGGCUCAAAUGGGCUUUUGGGUGGAAGGUUUCAAAGCUUAUUGGGUUACACUUUUGAGUCUAUAACACAAUAGGUCUAGAUGAAUUUAAAGUAUAUCCAACACAAUUAAUUAUUUUAUGUGCAUGAUAAUAAAAUUAUUUUAAAAAUUUGUGAUAAAAAAUUGUGAUAUAAUUAAGAUUUUUAUAUUUUGAGAAAUUUUAAUGCAUAUUGUUCUUAUUUAUAUUAAAGUAAUAAAAAAAUUCAUUUUAAAACAUUUUCUAAUAAAUAAUUAAUUAAAUUAUACACAUAUAUCAAAUACAGAUUAAAUUUAUAUUUUAUUGCUAUAUCCUGCCUCAUCAUGUCCUAAUUUUUCAAAAAUUGUUGUGUUGCUGCAUCCAUAUCGUGUCAUACCCAUGUCCCGUGUUUGUGUCGGUGCUUCCUAGUUGACAACAGAGUCUCAACAACUUUGUUUCACUCCUACUUUAGCUUAUUUGGAUUAAACGGGUUGUCCGACAAAAGAGGCAAAAAACUCUUUAGGAGAGUGAACCUGCAUGAGACAACUUUCAACAUGGAAACACAAGUGUUCAAAUAUUCAACUAUUCUUUCCUUCCAUUACCAUUUUCUUUUGGGUGGGUGGGGGUGUAGAAGGCAAGGGGCAGACAGGUUAUUUAACAGAAUAUAAAGGGAUCCAACAGCACAACAAUUAAAGAUGGUUGCAAAGAACAAUGCGAACCCAGAACUGAACUCCAAAGUAACAGUUAAAAGCUUCUCACCGGAGAAUUGCCACUUCUUGAGCAAACUCAUCUUCCAGAGCAUCAUUCAAAUGCUCAGAUCUAAGAAUCUUGACAGCAACAUCUUGGCCAAGGUAGAUGCCACGAUACCUUCAGAUGAAACAUCAGACGAAGCUUGAGCAACAAAAAGGAAAAUAAAGAAUAGAGUAGAUCAGAAGUAUCAAGUUCAUAGAAGUACAACUCACAGAUCUCCACAAGAUCCAGAUGCAAUUCUUUCUCCUAUCUUCAAAAGUCUUCUAUCUAUCUCCCAAUCUCCAGAUUUUUCUUGUGCUGCAGAUGCAUCAUCUACAGCUGACUGAGAAUGCAAAGAUCCAGACAGUGACCCCUAUAUGUCCAGGAGUCAUAAGCUAAAAUAUAUUUUUGGUAUUCAUAAUUUACUUAAAGAAGGCAAAAUUCAAGCAAAUAAAAGAGUGAAAGCAACAUAAUAUGUGAGAGAGAUCCAUCACAAUCCAACAGGAAGAUAAUAGUAAAGCGCUGAAGAAAAUAAAUCCAUCAAAUACAAAUUAUAGGGGUGAAAAACCAGGGUUACAAUCUGCUCAACUACUCGUGAAGUAUAAGUUUACAUACAGAUCAACUGUCACAUGCACGAAUCUGGCAGUGGCAACAUAAAGAACUUCAUACUACUAGAAAUGUGAAAAACUCUUCAAGUGUACUUGAACCACUUGAACUUCAAAACAAAACCAGACAGUACUGGCCCUUUAAAACAUUUUAAUGUCAACAGUAGUUUACUAGCUUUAUAAUGUCCAACUACAUUGUAAAAACUACAAUCCUGAAACAUUAAAAACCAUUCUUCCUUUGGAUUUGAUAUAAGUUUCAGACACUUGCAAUCAAGCUAGAAAAUAAAGCAAAGGCCAUAAAUAGAAUUCACAUGGACACAGUUUACCUUGCUUCUAGCGACUGCUUUUUCCAUAGCUUUAUAUAAACCAUCUGUAUCCUGGCCACAACAUUGCAAAGUCAGCAACAUUUGGACUCAGCAGAGAUCCCUGUCAUAAAAGAAAUAUAAUCACAAUGCUCCUUAAUAUAUUAAGGCUACUCUCCCAGGAUAAACUGUAUGUUGCUUAAUUUAACCAACUAAAUAAAUUCAAUAUAUACCAAGCACCAACCAAUUUUUUUUUUAUUUUUAUUUUAUGGUCAAUUGUCAAAGCAGUAUUAGAACAAAAAGAAAAUAAAAAGAAAAUAAACAGCUGCUUUUGCAAGGCAUGAACAAAAAUGACAUCAGCACAGAGCCUUAGUAUAAAGCAUGAAUUGAUAGCCAUUCAUUUCCAUUCUCAGCAUAGUGGGGGGAUUCUGAAGUUCUUUUUCCAUGAAUUAGAUCUGAAGAAAUGUAAAACAUGGAUUAACAGAAAAAGCAAAUGUUCCAGCAUCAAAGCAAGAGUUUUUAUUGCUUAAAACAAAUCAUGAAAAAAAAGAAUAAAACUACCAUUAAGGAAACUGCACGCACAACAAUAGCAGAAGAUACAUUAUGUUCUGUAAAGUAAGAUCCAUUAUUAGCUACACAUUCUAUGGCUCACCAAACCAUAUGAAGAUACAAAGACCUAAUAACAACAGAACAUCUAAUCGAAAAAUGGCUACCUCAACAGGCCAUCCAUCAACCACAAACACAUCCAAAGAGUAGCCAUCAGUUGUUGAGAACACAUGUGCUUCACGAAUGUUAAGUCCUAUAUCUGAAAGCAAUGCCGAAAGCUAGAAGAAAUGACAGCUGGUCAGUUUUUCAGAUUUGACUAGGUUAACAAGAUAAAUAUUAUCCAAAAAAAAAGGUUAACCAGAUAAAUGAUGAUGUUGAAAGCCCCACAAGCUGCUUAAAUAGAAGUCAAAAUUAGUUCUGUAUCUCUUUAUUACAAUAAUAUUCUUAGCAGAGAGUAGAGAAAGGUGCGGGAUAUUUAUUAGUGUUCACAAACCAAAAUGGAUAAUCUCUACAGAUCUCAAGUCUUUCUAAUGCAUUUUGCAUGCUCCAAGGGUUCAACAUAAGCAAGUGGCCAUGUUUUUCUUUCAAAAGUUCAAAGGAAAUAAAAGAUAUGUUGGCAGGAAUCUGAAGGAUACUAGUUAAUAGCAAUUAAAUUAAGAUUGUAACAGAUGACGUAGGAAUUGAACCUUAUUGCAAGCUUAUAAAAUCUUUCACAAAUUUUAGCAUUGUUCUUAAAAAAGGAAUGAUUGGGAUCCUUUUUUGAAGGAGAGUUUAAACACCAUAAACAUUUUUUGAUAAGCAUCAUAAAGUUAAUGACAAAAAAGUAUAAACUGCAUCUAUUAGCCGCUACCAAGAAAGCAGUUUGAGCAAGACGUCAUUAUGACAAGCCAUCAGAUGAUGACAACAAGGUUUCAGAAGCCCAUCCAGACUAUAAAAAUUUCCAAUAGCAUAAUAACAUUAAAAUAGGAUAACAAACUGAAAAAAUUCCAUUAAUAAAUUGAACGCACAAAAUAAAAAACUAGUGAAUAACUAUGCAUCCUAAGCUGCUUUUUCAGAUCUCAAAGAAAGCCAAGGAUCAAAUUCGAGCUGAGCUUUGAAUAUUUUUUAGCAUGGCUGGCCUUACAUCAACUGAAACUCAAUGGAAAGAAGUUGAAUACAAUAGAGAUUAAACCAAAGGAUCACAUUCAAGCUCAGCUUUGAAUUUUUUUAUCAUCCUGUUGAAAAGUUAACAAUGUAACCCUACGAUAGUAGAUAGAAACCACAGGGCAUUCAGUGCUGAGAGACAAAUACAGGGUGUUAAUAGAAAAAAGUCAACCACAACGAUUAUAAAUGUAAAUUUAACCUAAAACCAAAGUAACGCUCUGCAUGACAAUAAGACACAUGUUGUCAAACAUACCUGACUAAGCAGCUUUGGCCUGUCAGUGGUAGAAAAUAUAACUUCAUGAAUUGGAAUAUGUACAAUAUCUUGCCUGCAAAACAUUUACCAAAAGACAACUCACUUAACAUAUGUACAUACAACAAAUCCAUGACUGAUAUAUCAAAGCUGUAUUCAUCAGCCUCAUUCUAGUGUGCAUGCAUUCUGCAUGGUCAUGUAUGUAUAGUACUAAAUAUGUGCAUAUACAUAUAGAUAAAUUGUUGUGCACAGUUGCUGCUUCAAUUGUCAAUGCAGGUGAGGGAAGAGAGAAAGUGAAUAAGAAGAUGACCAUCUCCAUAUAAAACAAAAUGCUUUCAAAUGAACCUCUUGUCAAGUAACAAUGGAUUAGACAAUCUUAAAAUCAUUUCAAUAGUCAGAAAAACAUAACUGAAUAGAUACUUAUGAUCUGCAGAGUAUUGUUAUGAUACCAGUAACACAGAACUCCGUUCAGUAUAAACAUGAAUGAGAAGGGAAAGCCAAAGCCAUAGAGAUCUUGGAUACAUGUAUUGACCCAUGUGGGAGGAAAAGAAAACAAAAUCAGUUUCAUAGUUGCAGGUACAGAUUGAAUGGUUGACGCACAAAAAAUUAGCCUAUUAAUACCGGUGAUGUUUCAAUUUAACCAUUUCAUUUUGUUUUGAAGUAAUUCCCCAGAAGGAAGACCCAAAUACACACACACACAGCGUGCACCCCAACCCCCAUCCGCAACAAACAAAAAUACACAGAGGUUCUCAAUCCUAAAUGUAGGAAAAUCUCUACGUGUAGCCAAGCUAACAAAUAGGAAAAAAAAUUAUAACUGAAGUUUCAAAGAAAGGAAAAAGAUGUCUAACAAAUCUUCAACAAGGUACCUUUUGGAGAAGUUCUCCGUGAGAUAUCUAUCCUCUACACACUUGGAAUUCUUUCUGACAUCCAAAUUUAGGUCCUCGAGCUUAGAGCAAGGUUCAAAGUCAACUGCAUGAUCCCUGCUUCUAUUUACAGAAGGUAAUGGAGCAACAAUUAACAAAAAUAUUAAGAAAACAAAAAAAUGUGAAAAAGUCUUUUCAGAUCAAAUAAUGAAAAGGGAAGAGACACAACUAAGAAGGUAACACAUAUAAUACCUUUUAUGCGAAGGCACAACUUUUUCACUAUCUCCAUCAUCAAAAGGCCUUUGGGCAGAAAAAGAAUUUAUAAAUUGUUGAUCAUCAUUUGCAUCUGCUUUGGUGCAAAGGUUCUACAUGCCAACAUGUAAAAGGGAGAAAACAGGUAGAAUCAGGAAAAGAAGGCAAACAGAUCAUGCAUCAUAUUAGAAGAUAUUAAGAAUAAAUUAGAUGUAAUACCAUUAUUGGUGCAAAAGUAUAACGUGGUUAAGAGCAUGCGGUUCUUAAAGGGUUCAUAAACUGCUUUUUUUUAAAUUAUUUAGAAAUAGUGAUUAGGAUAUGCUAUUCUUGUUUAUUCAUCUAUUUUCACUUUCCAAAAUCUAUAAAACCAGAUAUAUAAUCAGCUUCUUCCUUCCUGACUUUCUGUGAAAAAAAAUGGAACAAAAAAAAUUGGACUACAAAAAGGAUAAGAUAUACUAUAAUGACAUUGGCAGUAGGGCAGAAGAAGGUAUCAAAAGAUGAAAAAAUAAAUUUCAUUAAAAAUUGCACAAAAUAAUUUAAUGAAAUACCAUAAAUAUCAUGGAGUUUUCUGAUCUUGUUUAACCAUAACAAUUCAGAACCUGUUUUUAGAGUACUACUGCUUCAAAGCAUUUUAGAAUUUCAAACAGGUACCCAUCAGCAAAACACACAUUUACACGCAGCCAAAUACAAAGACACAUCAAGAUGCAUGAGUUUGCAUAUCGUUAGAGUUGUAUAAGACAUAUAAGCAGAGACAUAAACCUUUCAGCUAAGCCAUAAAACAGGAACAAACACCAUCAACUUUCCUUACCACAGGCACAAAUUCACAAAAACAAAACCGUUGCUCAUCUUCAUUCACUUCAGCUUAUAUAAAUAUAAAAAAAAUUACAAUUUCCAUAUAUAAUAACAUAAUAACUUAUGUGAUUACUCGCAAUUUUAUCUGAACAAUUUGAAAUUAUUAGGACAUCAAAUCACAUUGAGUUCUUCACAAAAAUCCUUCAAACACAAAUCUAUAAGACACAUGUCUUGAAGGUACAACCCAACUUUGGAAUGACAAAUUGCCCUUAAUUUCCCAUUUUCUUAAUGACAUGAGUACAGUAGGCCCCUUAUGCUUUUCAUGACACAACAUCCAUUCUAUAUAUCAUAACAUAUUUCUCCACUAGUCCUUUAUUAAUUAAUUUUUAUAAAGUAAUGAUAAUUUCACGCCAACAAUGAAACUAUAUGCAUGAUAUAAAUGACAUUAUCAACACUUAUUUUACACUAUAUCCUAAUCCAUGAAAGGAAUAAAGUGAGGAGGUAGUUUACUAAAUAUUACAAAUGUAGUAGUAGUACCAUAGACCCUUUGUGUACAAUUAAAGUUGAAAAAAAAAAAAAGAGCAAAACUUAAAACAUUGAUAUAAAAAUAUGAAAAGUCUUUUCGUUAAUGCUAGGGCCAUGCUAUCUCAAAAUUUAGAGCACAGUAACAGAACUUAUUUGCCAAGUAAAAAUUCUUCAAACACAUAUUUAAAAAAAAAAAAUUCCCUUUCACAAAAAUUUAUUGAAAAAAAUUCUAAUGAUCUCCUUUUCACCUUGGACAUUAGGUUUGUACUUUUUUUUUGUUUGAUAAGUAUUAUUAGCCUUGUACUUAAUGCAACUAAUAUUACUUGCUCUAACAAAACUAUAAAAAGAAAACUAUCUUUUUGACACAUGAAUUUACUAAUAAAUAGUACUAUUUAAUAAUAAUAGUUUCUGGUUAUCUCAUGGAAAUAAGCACAGGGUCAACUGCAAAUGAAAAGAACUGGAUUCACAUUACAUUAAACACUACGCUUUACUUGGUUGGGAGGAUGGAAAGGAGGGAAGAAGGAAAAGGCUUAUAUCCAAUGGUAAUUCCAAAAAAUAGGAAGGUUGUUCUGAAACCUAACCAUUAUAUCAAAACAUUUCCACCCUCCCUAUCAAGCAAAGCUUAAAAGAAUUGUUCUCAAGUUCACCUGUCACCAACAACCACAUGUUCCCAACACUCUGUCUCACAAACCACCAUCUAUUUUAAUUGAUUAUCAAUCAGUAAUGUAUUAACACAACUUUAUCUCUUCUUGUAACAGCUAGUUUUUAGGAAAAAUGACACGCAUAAUUAGUCCAUUUCAAGAUAUUUCAGUUUCUACCACUUUGCUGGAAUUAUAAACCACUAUCUCCAAAAGUCUGAUUUUGAGCCUCUUCACAUUAACUUGACCACAAACAGCAACUACAUAUGAACUAGUAGUCGAAAUAAAAGGCAGAAAUCUCCAUUUUUUUUCCACUUUUUCUAACAGCAACAUCUUGAAUACAACAAAAAGGAAGAAAAUCAAAAGACGUUCCUCUUUUGCUAUGUAAAUAAAAAUAAAGAAGUAGUAGUACCUCUAAGAAGCGGAUAUGAUAAACCGGCCGCUUGUCCGGAUCCUUCGCUGAUGCAAGUAGUUUCUGAUGCAACAAAACAUCUUCCACUCUCUCCAUAUUAACAUCAAGUCCAUAACUGAAUCCAAAAACCAAACAACUUCAUCAGCCUUAACCAAUCCUACAAAUAAAUUACUAAAUUCUUCAUAAAACAAGUAAAAAAAUACGUAUAAAACAGCUACAAAUGUAUAAAUUAUUCAUAUGAGAAAUAAAUUUUACCUAGCAGGCAAGCGAUUGAAGUGAGAAUCUAAAUGGUCACGAAAGUCAGGAUUAGAAAUGGCUUCUUCGUGGCCGGUUUCAACUAAGCGAUUGAAAACGUCGUUUCUGACAUCGUAGCUGUUGAAGCUACCGAAGCUUCUGGGCGGCGACGAGCUCUCUCCGACUCCUUCCGUCAAAUCCAUCCACAAUGAAAUCUAAUACUUUUUCUUCUUCUUCCUCUCCUUUUCUUCUUUCUUUCUAUUUACGCAUCGCAUGAGGGAAAUUGUUGCUGUCUUGGUUGUUGAUCAAAGUGAGGAGGAUCUUUGACUGGUGAUGGAAUCUGAGAAGACAAAAACGGAGGGAGAGAAUGGGGUUUUGAGAGAGUUUGGAGGGUAAAUUUGGGAAUUGAGCAAGUGUCGCAGAGAAGAAACAGGAAACGAAUGUUCAGGUAGGAAGAAAGAAAAGAGCGAGGCUGAGUCUUUUUUUCUCUUUUUCAUUAUUUAAUUAACAGAAUGGAAGAAAGAGAGCUGAAGUGGAUAGGGUUCGGAAAUUUCUUGGAUUAAAAUAUGUUGACUGAAGUUACGGGAAAACCCUUAGAGAGGGCAGAGAAUUACGGUGACAGAGAUUCAACGGAAUCACGAAAACGCCAUUCGGAAGGGGGAAACAAAAACGAUUUUGCUAGGGGCACCCGUCAAGCAGCUUUAAAACAGUAAAACAAAAAUUCGCAUCAGCAUUUUAACCUUUUACCAAAACCGUUCCAACCUUUGUACGUUUUUUGUUUUGCAUCCCUUCCGCUUUCUUACCUAAAAAUAGUUAAAAGUAGAAAAGAGAAAAACUAAAACAGCCUUGGUAUUGAAAAAACACCGGUCUACUUAAGUACAGACGGUACAAACUAUUCAAGCCUUUGUGUAUAUUUCAAACUUAUCUGCUUCUUCUCCGAAUAUUGUUACCGUUACAUGUAAACUGAAUAUGAUAUUUAAAGUGCAUCAAAUUGCUUAAAAAAAUUAAGUUUUUCUCUUUAUUUCUAUUUUAUUUUCUGAAUUAUUUUUUAUACAUGCUUAAUGUAAUUAUUAUUAUUUGUUUAAAUGAAUUUUUGAGUGAUAAAGAGUAUUAAAAAAUAAAAAAAAAAGAAUUUGAUUUGAAUGAAUCUCCAAAAGUAAUUGAAAUCACAACAUUAUCUCAUUAAACUCUAAAGUUUCUUAUAAGAAUGGAAAAAAUGGACAUGUAAAUAAAAAAUCGAUAAAGAUAGAAUUUGAACCUUUGUUGAUCAAUAUUUUCUUAGUGAAGAGGAGGCUUUUGUUUUUUUUUUUAUGUACAAAAUGUUGAAUUAAUAAAAUAAAUAUGAAAAAAUUAAAAAAAAAUUGCCAUUCUUAUGAUAGACCACCACCUUUAAAGGUAAUUAAACUAGUCAAGAAACAUAAAACUGGGAAAUUAGCAAAAUAUGAAUUCAAGGCUCAUCAAAGGAUCUCUUCCAAAUAUUCACUUGAUGUAAUUUUUCCAUUAGAAUGGAAAUUAAAUAAAUUUGUCAGUGGUUGCAAUCAUCCAUUAUUGUUUCCUUCACAAGUUGGUUUUCUUCCUACUAGCUAACUAUCAAUGUCAGAACAUUGUUUAAUUUGUAUUGAUAUUUUAGGUUUAUUCGCCCAAUAAACAAGAAUUAUGCUACUUUUGUCACAUUCAAACUUUAUCCUUUUUGUGUGUAAUUUUGUUGAAUUUUCUGUUUUAAUGGUUUCUAUUGUGCUAGCGUUUUUGGACCAACUUGUGAGCUCUCUUUGAAUGCUUAGUUUUAAUACGAUGCUUACUUAAAUUUUAUAUUUUAUAUAAUUUUAAUGCAAUUUUAUAUAGUAUUCUUUUUUAUUAAGAUAAAUUUCACUUCAUUUUGAAAUGUUCAUUAAUUACUUUAUGCAUUUAAAUCUAGGAAUGGUACAGAUAAAAUAUUCACUAAUUUUGAGGUAGUUGUACUCUAUCAUAUGUUAUUUGGAUUCUUCCCUUCAUCCUAAUUAACAUACUUGUAUUUGAUAUUUUCUGAAUACUUCACUACUCAUAUGACUACAACACUUUGAUCCUCAAAAUAAGCGUAAAUUGUCAAAAAAUAUAUCAUAUCCACGUUCAACGCCAUGCCUGCAGUUCAAAGAACAUGGUCUGUAAUAUAAGAAUAUAAUGCACAUAUGCUUGCCCUUGGAUUUGAUUAGCAAUACUUAUUAUAACUCGAAAUUGAUUAUUUAGUUAGAAGUGACAUGGGGAUAGGCUACAAAAACCUAGCUCAGACCUGAACUCAAUAAUGAAAAGUAUGAUUAAAUAAUUUUCCAUAUAUUAUUAAUCAAAAUUAAAUCAAUAAAUUCAAUGUAAAAUUUAUAUUUAGAUAUUUCAUAAUUUUAAUAAAUAAUUUAUCAAUUAUAAGUAAUAUACAAACUGAAAUGUAAUAAAAAAUUAAAAAUAUACAUAAAAAAAAUUUGAUUAACGAAUAACUUAGGGCCGCUAUCCGAAUUAGUUUUAAUAGAAUUAUAGUACUCCUACAUAAGCAAGUCGGUUAUUGUUGGAUACCUAUUUAUAAGCCAUUGCCAUUUCUUUUUUGAAAGCUCAUUGCCAUUUCUAUUUAAAUCUUGGCAUAUAUAUAUUUGUUUUAAUGAAAACAUGUCUCAAUAUUUGUAGUAAAAAAAAAACUAAAAUUUUUGAAUUUUCCUUAAAAGGAAAAUCUAUGGGUAGAUUUUUGAAUAUCGAAGAUUAAGCUCAUUUAAUUAGGUUGCAAACUAUUUAGUAUUAAGCUCCUCAAAUUCUUCUAUUAAUAAUUAAUUUUUUUAAAAUUGUGAUUUACUUAACCCUUAAGUAUAAAGAAAUUAAUUAUAAGUUAAAAUAAUAAUUUAUUUAAUAAAAGAAUACAUAUACGGUUAUGGAGCUUGGAGAAUAGAAAACAUAAUCUCAUAAUGGUAUAUCCAUUUUAUCAAAGUCAUUCAUACCGUGCAUAACCAAGUUAUCUUUUUCGUGAACAAAAGGAAAAGGGUGUGUAAGUCGCGUAAUCCUACAACCCAACUUUGUAAAUUGUUCACAUACUGAAGGAUAUUAUGGAGAAAAAGAAAAAGUUAAAAUGUUGUUAGGAGAAUGAUUAGUUUGGAAGCAAAUUUUCAUUUUACGAAGAAAAGUGAUUAGGAAAGGUAUUUGAGGUCGCUUUAACGGGUGCCCUUAAGGAAACCGUACUGCAUGGACACACGCAAACGCGUUUUUGGUUAGCGGGGAGGGAGCGUGCUAAUGGGGCAGGCGUGACAGAGUUCGGAGAAGUAAGACAAGCUGGUAGAAUUCAUUUUGGGUUAUCCUCUCGGGUUUCAGACACGUGCUGGACAUUUAUGUGGGUGGGAUCCAUUUUGGACAUUCCCUGGCAGUAACGGGAGUGUAAAUUCCAUGUUGGUUAGAAUUAGACAAAUUAAAUUAAAUAGGAGGUGAGGCAAGGGACACAAUGGUUAACAUUUCUUGCGUACAAAAUCUUUUAUUGUUAGUUGUGAUAUGUAGAGGGAAAAAAAUAAGACAGCUCUUUGUACGAGAGAAAUAAAAGUAUAUUUUUUAUAAUAUAUUUAAUUAAAUUAUAUUAUAAUUUUAUUUUACAAUAAAUCAUUAUAAUGUAAGAUUGUAAUUUAAUUACAUUAUAACUAAAAGAUGUAAUGUGAUUGCAGUUCAAAAUUAAUACAAUCAUAUUAUAUUAUACUCUGUAAUAUUAUUAAAGACAUUUUUACUUUUCAACUUCAUUACUUUGUUAAAAAUAUUUAAUAAUAUUAUAAUUAAAAUAAUAUAUAUAAUAUAAAAAUUAAAAAAUAAAAUAAAAUAUAAAAAAUUAAAAUUUAUACAAUAUAAGUAAAAGAAAUAAAAAUAAAAUAUAUAAUAUAAAAANAGAUAAAGAAAUAAAAAUAAAAAUAAUUAAUAUAAAAAUUAUAUUAAAAAAUAAAAAUAAAUAUAAUAUUAUAAUAAAAAAUAAAAAUAAAAUAUAUGACAUUAAAAAUAUAUUUAAGAGAUGAUAUUAUAUAAAAAUUAACAAUAAAAAUAAAAGUAUAUUAAACUUGUAUUUUAAUAAAUAGGAGUAAUUUUAAAAAUUAACAUUACAUUCCCAACAAAGCACUUGUAAACAAAACGUUGUAAUGUUAUCUUCCCUACAUUUUAAUCAUUAUUUUAUUUGUAUAUUAUAUCAAAUAUUGUAAUAUUAUUUUUCCUAUAAUAACAUUGCUUGCAAUCACAUUAUUUGCAAUUACAUUAUCUGUAAUCACAUUGUAUUGUAAAGUAUCAAACCACACCUAAAUUCCGAUGCUUUAGUACAUAAAAAAAAAAAACAAAUCAUAUAAUGGUUUUAGAUAUGUACUUUUACAAUUUAUUGAUUGAAUUACUAAACCUCCUUAGAAUUGGGAUUGCAAAUAAAGUAGUUUACUCUGUUAAGACUUACGUACAGGGCUUAUUCAUCACUAUUAUAAAAAAUAAUUUCUAGUCUUUUCCAUGAUGUAAUUUACAUUCAUUUUGAAAUUUUAUUUGAGUAAUUUGACAAUUAGUCAAUAUAAAUAAAGGUAAAGUGAUACCAUGGAAUCCAAAUUUUUCAAAGAAGAAUAAUUAUUUCAUUGUACCCAUCUUUUUGUUGGCAGCUGUGAAUUGAAUUGAAAUGGUUUUCUAUUAACCAACUAGUAGCAUUUAGCCUGUAUAAUACUCUCUCUCUAUAUGUAAAAAAGUAACACUAUGACUCAAGUUGUAUGAAAUUUCCACAAAUGAUCAAAGGAAUAGAUUAAAGCAACAAUCUUUACCCUUUUUAUUUUCUUUCUGUCUUUCCUUUAUUCCUUUUUAGCAGUUGGGUUGCAUGAAAACUAGCUUCUCUUUCUCUAUUUUUCUUAUUAGACAAUGAUUUUUGCCUUCCGAUAACUCAUCCCUCACUUUUGCACCUUCACUUAAACCUUUGAUGGGUAGAGAUGUGAAAGGGAAAGCAAUGAAAUCAGUUCUCUCUUCUUUCUUUCGUUCUUUCUCUUUGCAAUUUGACUAGAUUUUGUUGCAUAAGAUUUUCUCUACUUUCAACUCGACUUUCAUUUGAGAAUUGAAUCCAUGACCUAAGCACCUUAGUUAACCAAUAAUCAGAGAGGAUGGUGCUUAGAACAAUAUAAAAAAACCAAGCUUAUCCAUAUCAGAUGACCUUAGCACCCAUAGUAAAGACAAGAAUUAUAUAAUAUGUUUCUCUUUCUUCAUUAACAUAAAAACAAUGAUGCUAGCUGUUUUGAGCAUUGGCACACAAUUCUUUGCCUCAAUCAUAUUAACCAUAACAUUGACAGAUUAGUAUCUCGUAAGAUGGAAGACAUACUGUACAUCACUCGGUUUCUCCAAAAUGCUUCUUAAUAUGCAAUUACUCUCUCUUUAAAUAAAAGGAAGUUUUAUUUUUAUAUAUUUAUGUUUUGAUUUAGAUAAAAAAAAUUUGAAUCUUGAGAUUCUAAAAAGAAUAAAUUAUACAUCAACUAUCGAAUUAAAUACUUGACUAUUAAACAAAAAGAAACUUAAUUAAUAAUAUAUGAUAAAAAAAGAAAAAAGUAACCAAAGUUAACUCUAUGAUUUUCAUUUUUUAAAUUAACAGUGUUGGCAUUUGGUUUUUGUUAGUGUACCAUUGAGGGUGACUUGUAUUAGAAUGAUAGGAUGCUUUUUCUUUUUUUUGAAAUGAACGAUAAGAUGCUUGGAGUGGCACUAUGAUAAUAGCCUUGAUAAUGUGUGGAUCCGAUUACACUAUACUUAUCAAAUUUUAUAUGAAAGUGGAUUAAUGAUUUAAAAUUUUCAUAUAGCACCAAAUGUCUUUGAUUUCAUAAAAGAAGAGAACAAAAGUGCAAAGGUAAGAAUAGAAGACACUAGAGAUAGGUUUAGUUACUUUAGUGAAUAAAUAUGUAAGGAAGAUGAUUACUAGGUGCAGAUUAAUCUCUUUAUAUUUAUAAUAUACGGUCUUGACAAAAAUUUGGUUUGUAUGUCGUUCUUAUCCUUUGCAAUAUCACUAUGUGUUGAUUUCAUUUUCUUUUAUCAGGAUAGAGAGGAGAAAAAUCUUGUAAGGAUCUCUUAGAUGGCCUAACACCUAGAAUUACUCAUAUAAAUGAUAAUAUAAUAUUUUAAUAAAAAAUAAAAUUUAAUUGGAUACACUUGGAAACGGUUUUAAAUUUUAAAAAUAUCAACCGAACUUAAACUCAAUCCAUUGACAAUUCUACUUUAUACAUAUGAUUAAUCUAUGUUUGCCUAACAAAAACAAGUGUUAUAAUUAAGUAGCAGGCAAAUCUUUUUAUUUUUGACUAAAGUUUCAAAAUCGAAUUCCAAACUUAACUAUUUAAAAAAGUAAAAAAAAAAAGAGAAAUUCCUUUCGUGCUUCUUAUAUAAUACUCAGAGCACAAACAUAAUCUUAAAGCUGGAUUAAUUGAUCUUCACUAUGGUAUACACUAAUAUAACAGUUGAUUAGAUAAUGAUUAUCACAGUACGAAGGGUGUUGAAAAAUUUACAUUUGCCACUUUAUGAUGACAAAUUUAUGAAGUGAAGAUAAAGUGGGUGUUAAAGGGUAAAUCUGCAUUCUAGACAAUGAAUAAUGAUUAAGAAUUUAUUCCCAUACAUGGUUUAUCCUUUGUGAGACAAUGGGCCAUUCCAAUCUGUUGACGUCGGCUUCAACAGGAAUUUCUAUUGGGGGCAGCGAUGUGACAAAGUCUUUGUGGCAAAAUGGUGUCAACAAAUCGAACUGAUUCCGGAAAGUAGAAUUUUCUUUUUCCCCAAAGAGUUGUGUUCCCAAAUAUUCCUAGAGAAUGGUCUGUGAUAUCACAUUAUGUUAAGCAAUUAACGGACCUCUAAAUGUUUUUGAAUUUUCCCUAAAGGAGCAAAGGGUGAUGCUGCUAGAUAAGGAAAUUGUCUUCAUUUCUUACGUUUAAUAUAGGGGUAAAUUAGUUAUUACCUUGUUUAAUUGAUGGAAUUUAGAGGGAAAUGAAGGUAUAAAAUGUCAUGCUAAAAUGUUGAAUUUGAUGAUGCCAACAAUGGAGUUCAAUCAACUACCGGCUAGAUUGACUCUCUUAGGACCAAGUCAGUUAGAAGAGAGAGUAGUGAGAGAAAGUAAAGAGAUUUAUGUGUGGUGUAUAAAAAGAAAAAAAAAUUAGAAGUUCUUUUUUCGCAUUCGGUUUAUUGAUUAGUGAAUGAUCUCUCUAUAAAAAGAAUAAGAUUCGAAUUUCUUUUCUCUCAAAUAUAUGUAUAAAAAAUACCAUCCCUUUCUUAGUAGUAAUAGAUCUAAUUUAUUGCACUUUGAGAGCAUAAAUGGAGGUUAAAUGACCUAAAAUGCCUAAGUUAGGUUGCCCACUCUUUAUGCAUGACAACACUUUUUACAGCUUUAGCAAGUUAGAAAUGAUGGCAUAUUGUUAUUGCUUUCAAUCAGUAUUCAGUUUCUUUAUCCUCCUUAAUUUCAGGCAUCAUUUUGCUUUAACUGGUUUUGACUUUUGAUAGACCAAAAAAUAAAAAAUGGAAGAUAAAUGAUUUUUUUUUUUUAAAAAUCAAAGUAUCUUUCUUUAGGAUCCACCUUUUGCACAUAGCAUGGCUUUCAAUGGUAGUUGACUUGUGCAACUAGUGCUAAUCUAAACUUAAUUCUGCAAUCAAAGCCAGAUACUAUCAUCAAAAUUCAUGCGUUGUUUAAGAAACGAAAGACUACUGCAUACAUCGUAUCAUUUUGAAUGAAAGAUGGUCAUGAUCUAGCAAGUACUAAGAAUUUUUUGCUAUGUUCCUUCCAAAGUGGAGUUAACAUGACAAAAGCAAGCUCUUGGACAUUUCAUAACUUCAACAUAUACACUUAAGGUAAAUCUACAAACAAGUCAUAUCUGUAAAAUUUCACUUUCACUUGAUCAAGAAAAUGGGCAAUCUUUUACCAAACUUUCCUUGUAAAACCUCAAACUAAACCAAACUUCCAACAACAAAAAACAACAUAAACAACAAGAAUUCACGUAUAAUCAACCUCAAACUAAAGCAAACCCGACUGUCAAUGUUCGCUUGAUCAAGAAAAUUUAAUUUGUUACUUUGUCUCCGGAGCCUUGAGUACAAGUACCAACACUCCAAUUCUGCUAUUUAUCCUACGAAUGAGAGCAAAAAUUAGAAAACUGUACAGACUGACCAAAAAGGAGGUUUAGAUUGACUGAAACCAGUCAUCAAGCAUACGAAAACGGAUGACUUUUUUACUAAAAAUAAUGAAAAGUGAUGACUAAUAUUAGACUAACAUUUUGGUCUUUGGUUUUGAGCUUUAACAGGCAUUUUGUUAACUUUUAAGAAAAAAAAUAAUAAUCCUUAAAAAUCGACACUAGUAAGCAAAAGCAAAACAAGAUGAAGAAGAAGACCAGAUACCAAAAGCCGGAAACGACUAAAACAGCUGGUUUUAAAAUACCAUAUCAAAUAUAAAACGGUUUGAAAUGGACCCCACACAAAGCUAUCUAGUGCAUUGCUAAACAAAAGGGAAUAAAAACCAAUCAGAAAUAAAAUGAAACAAGAACACGUGUAUAUCACGUUGAUCAGAUAAGUAAAGAAAGAAUGUGACAAUCACGAGCUGUCACUUUACCAAACAGUUUAAAAAAGGUUUGCUCCAUGCAUCAAUUCAACCUUCCACCUUCAACGCACUUUCUGGAAGUUGAAUUUGUAGACUCCGAGCUUCAAUCUCAUUAGCUCAUAUUUAUUUUUAUUAAAAGGUGUGUUUGGUUUAUAAGAAGAAAUAGAGUGAGAAUGGAAUAAUUAUUUCGUAUGAAUAGAAUAUACGAUGAAUAACUAUUAUGUAAUUUGAUUUAUGGGAAUGAUAUAUGACAUGAAUUGUUAUUAUAAAUUAUUUUAAUGUUUGAUUAGCAUGAAUAGUUUUAAGAAUAAUUAAGGAGUAAGUGAUAAAUGACAAAAAUACCAUUUAAUAUAAUAUUUAAUUUUGAAUUAAAAUAUUAAUUUUAUUAUUUUAUUCUUUAUUUUAAAAUAUUAAAAUAUAAAAAUUUUAUAAUUAAAAUUUUAAUUUAAUUUUUAAGUUUAAAAUAUUAACUUUUUAUAAUGUUUAAUUAAAACUUAACCUUUUUAUUUUAAAUUCAUUUAAAUAUUUUCUUUUUAAUUUUUAAAUUUUAAAUGCAUUUUAAUUUAGUGAGAGAAAGAGAGUGGUAGUUGGGUAGAGAGAGAAAGAAAUUGUAAAAAAUGAAUAAAAUGUAUUUUACAUAGUAGGGUAAUUCUUCAAAUCAAUGAAGGAUAUUUUUGUCCAUUAAUGUUUUUACUCUAUUCUUCGCUUCUCGGAAUAGCCAAUAUCGAGGAGCCCAUACCAAAAAGGGCCUGGGAAUUGAGUGUUCCCUUAUAUCCCUGAAUGGCAAUUUCUUCCAACCAAAUAAAGUGUUAAAGAAGGAUUAGGAAUAAGAGGAAUGACUAUUCCAUUCCUUCCAACCAAAUAUGCUGUAAGUGCUUUAGUAAAGAUGUCAACCAACUGAUCAUUGGUGCUAUAAUACUUAACCAGAACCUCAUUGUUUUUGAUGGCUUCUCUUAUAGCAUGGUGUUUAACUGUUAUAUGCUUUGUUCUUCCAUGAUUAACUGGAUUUGAAGUAAUCACAUAGCAAAAUUGUUAUCCACCCAAAGAACUAUUGGUUGUUCAUGAAUCACUUUCAAAUCUAAUAGGAUCUUUUGAGCCAGAGUGCUGGAUUUAUUAAAGCUGAUGUAGUCACAUAUUUUGCCUUUAUAGAGAAUUGUGCAACAAUUUCCUGUUUUUUAGAAUUCCAAGAAAAUAUAGCACUCCCAAAGGAGAAGUAGUAGUUACUUGUGCUUUUAGAAUCUUCCCAACUCCUUACCCAAUCAUUGUCUGAGUAACCGUGCAAUUCCAGCUUCAUAUUCUAACCGAAUUUUAAACCAUAACUUAAGGUUCAUUUAGCAUAUCUAAGAAUCCUUUUAGUUGCCAUUAAAUGAACUUCUGAAGGCUUUUGCAUAAAUCUAGACAACAGACUAGUAGCAUGCAUAAUAUCUGGUCUAGAUGUAGAAAGAUAGAGUAAACUUCCAAUGAGGUUUUUGUAGUACGUCUCAUUAGCUUCUACAUUUCCAUCAUUCAAACCAAACCUGUUUUCAGUGACCAGUGGUGUUGCUACUGACUUAUAGUUUUCCAUCUUGAAGUUCUUCAACAACUCUGAACCAUAUUUUUUUUGGUGCAUCAGUAUAUAACCUGCAUUUUGCUUAAUCUGCAAACCCAAAAAAUAUGACAUUUUCCCCAAAUCAUUCAUAUCAAACUCAUUUUGCAUUUUUCCUUUGAAGUCAUUCAAAAUAUCUUCACUUGGCCCUGUGAUGAGUAGAUCAUCGAAAUAGAGAGAAAUUAUAAGAUAUACAAGAUUACUUGAGCUUUUGACAUACAAAGUAUGUUCAUUUUCACUUCUUAUAAAGCCUCGAUUUAAUAAAUAGUUGUUCAUUCUUUCAUACAAAGCUCGUGGGGCUUGUUUAAGACCAUACAGUGCCUUGAGUAAUUUACAUACUUUAUUUUCUUUCUCAACUAGAACAAAGCCUUUAGGUUGCUCAACAUAGAUAUUUUCUUUGAUAGUCCCAUUUAAGAAUGCAAAUUUGACGUCCAAGUGCUAUAUUGGCCAUCCUUCAAUAGCUACAAGUGCCACCAGUAGCCUAAUUGUAUCUUGUUUGGCUACUGGUGCAAAAGUCUCAAAGAAAUGCACUCCACAUACUUAAGAGAACUUCACAACAAAUCUAGCCAUGUAUUUAUUGAUAGUUUCAUAUGAGUUAAGUUUUCUUCUGUAGACCCACUUAACUCCUAUUACUUUUUGAUUCUCAAGUCUGUCAACCAAACAUUAGGUAUUAUUUUUCUUAAUCAUCAUCAUCUCAGUCUUCAUAGCUUGUCUAUAAAGCUCAUUUACAAUAGCUUCUACAUAUGAACUUGGUUCAAAGAUAGCAACAUAACACCUUAAAUAAAUGUCUUCCAAAGAUUUUGUCCCUUUCACAAGAGGUUCAUCAUUAUCAUCAUCUAACUCUAGUUCAUUGUCAUGUUUUGAUAUGUAAUCUAUCACAAUGUGUUGAUUGUGUGAACUUUCUACAACUUUAGUGUCCCAAUUCCACUUCUUGCUUUCAUAAAAAACAACGUCCUUAUUAGUAAAGAACUUCAUUAUCAUGACUUUCAAUCAUCUAUAUCCUUUAGAAACUUCAUUAUACCCAAGGUGAAUUGCAAUAACAAAUUUUUUGUCUAGUUUUAUUCUCUUAACAUUUGAUAUCUUUGCAUAACAUACACAUCCAAAUAUUUUUCAAUGAACAAUUGAAGGUUUCAAAUCAUACCAAGCUUCAUAAGGAAUCUUACUUACCAGGGCUUUUGUUGGAGCUAAGUUUAGCAAAUACUUGGUUAUGUUCACAUCUUCUGCCCACAGUGUUUUUGGCAAACUUUUCUUAAAGAGUAAACACCUUGCCAUCUCCAUUAAGGUUAUAUUUUUUAUCUUAGAAACACCAUUCUAUUAAGAGCUAUAAGACACUGUUAACUGAUGUAAAAUACCAAACUUGCUCAGGUAACGUUCAAACUCUUUAUUUAUGUAUUCACUACCAUUUUCACUCCUUAGCAUUUUAAUGGUCAUGUUCAUUUGAUUUUCUACUAGUGCUUUGUACUUAAUAAACACUUUCAAAGCAUCAUAUUUCACUUUGAGAAAAUAAACCCAGGUCAACCUUGUAUAGUCAUCAAUAAAUAGUAAAUAAUACUGCUUCUAUUUAGAGAUGAAGUCUUCAUGGGGCUUUUAAGAUCAGUAUACAUCAACUAUAACUUUUGUGUAGCAUUCCAUCUUUUGACUUUGGGAAAUGCUGCACGUUUGUGCUUGCCAAAUUAACAAAUAUCACAUACCUUGUUACAGCUUGAAAUCAUUGGCAAACCAACUACCAUUUUAUUUGUGCUCAUCAAUUUAAGUGAACCUAGUUCACAUGACCAAAUCUUUUUUGCCAAAGGUCAUUAUCACUCACAGUGCACUUGUAAGCAGAAUGAUUAACUUUCAUCCAAUCUAGAGGAAAACAUUUUUUCCUCAUCCCUACUAUUAGUAGCUCAAUUUUAGUAGGAUCUUUAAUUGUCCAUGCCUUAUCCCUGAAUACUAAUUCAUAAUCAUCAUCCACCAGCUACCUUACAUUGAGUAGGUUUUGACUAACAUCAGGUGCAUAAAAAAUGUUUGAAAUUGACUUUAAACCAUCAAGUGUUUGCACUCAUACUAUACUAACUCCAAAGAUAAAUAGGAAAUCUCCAUUGCCAAUUUCUAUCUUAGUUUUGAAGCUGCCAUCAAGAGUUGCAAAACUCUGCUUGCAACCAGUUAAAUGGCUUGAGUAGCCACUAUCUAUCAACUAAGUGUUUUUUUUUUCAUCAGAAUCAACCUUCUUAACCGUGAAAAGAACUUCAUCGUCCACCUAAUCCUUCUGCUAAGCAAGAACAACUUUUUAGUUCCUCGAUUCUUAUAAACUUUUUCUAUAUGACCUUAUUGGUUACAAGUUCUACAUUUGACAUUAGGCUUGUACCAGCAAAACUUCUUAAUAUGAUUGGUCAUUUUGUAGUAUGAGCAAGGUGAACAAGUCCUUUUUUGAUUUCCUUAAUUCUUUUUCAUUGGUUUUCUUUCCUUUGUUCUUUCUUUCAUUCCUAGACUUCUUGCUAUACCCAUCGUUGUGUUGAUAUUCUACAUUUCUAGCCAUCAAGGCACCUUCAAUAACAUUUUCCUGCCUCAAUGCCUUUUUCUAUUCUUAAGGUUGUAAAGUAUUCAUAAGCUCAUUUACAGAAAUUGAUCCUAAAUCUCUAGAAUCUUCUAGAGAUGAAAUUUUUGACUCACAGUUCUUUGGGAGACUUACUAAAAAUUUAUUCACUAUUCUUUCCUUAUAUACUUCUUCACCAAAAGCCUUAAACGAUUCACAAUUUUGUGAACCUUAUCUGAAUAAUCUUGAAUUGUCUUUUCAUCACCCAUUUUUAGAGUUUCAAACUUUCUCCAAAGGUUCAAAGCCUGAAGUUGUCUAGUCCUAUCAUUCCCAAAAAUCUCUACCUUUAUCUUAUCUUAAGCCUCCUGUGGUGAUUUACAAUUUAUAAUUGUAAAUAUAGAAUCUAAGAUUGUAGAAUGUGGAAUAGAAAGUGCUUUGUACCUUUUUGCUACUUUCUCAUUAUGCUGUUUCAAUUGAGCAAUGAUUGGGUUGACGACUCUUAAAAUGGGGGGAUCACCUCCAGCAUUAACAAUCUCCCACAAGUCAUAGGCUCUCAGAUAAGCCUCCAUCUUAAUCGCUCAAAUUUGAUAAUUUUGCCUAGAAAAAAUGGGAGAAGUAGUGACACUGAGGCUAGAAAAAGCCAUUAAAAACAUAGAGUUUAAAAGUUGAGAAAAAAAAAGCAAUCACCACUGAAGAAAAAAUUCCUUACAGUCCCACAAGAUCCAAGUAAUGCUUUGAUACCAUGUUAACUUUUAAGAGAAAAAAAUAAUAAUCCUUAAGAAUCAACAUUGAUAAGCAAAAGCAAAACAAGAUGAAGAAGAAGACUCAGGUAAUAAAAGUUGGAAAUUCAUAUUCACAAUGGCUAAAAUAGUUGGUUUUAACAUACUAGAGCAAAUACAAAACAGUUUGAAAUAGACCACACACAAGUUGUAUGGUGCAUUGCUAGAUAAAAGGAAAUAUGUUGCGUGGCCAUUACAUCAAAUGUGGCUAAUAGCCAAAUGAAAUAAAAAACAACCUGAAAUAGAAUGAAACAAGAACACGUGCAUAACACGAUGAUCAAAUAAGUAAAGAAAGCAUGUGAAAAUCAUGUGAUUGUCACUUUACCAAACAGUUUAAAAAAGUUCACGCCAUACUAUAAUUUAACUGCCCACCUUCAACACAAUUUUUAUCUUUUACGAAAAUUACCUUGAAUUUUCUUCAUGACAAAAGCCCAUGUAACCUUAUAUCACCUACCAUCGCAACAAACCUUUCCUGAGUUUUGCAUUCUCUCCCAUCAUUGAAGCUACUUGAAAGUUCUAAAGAUGAAAAAUCAAUUUAGUAUAUAUAGUAUCAAAUAAUAUAUUGAGGAUUAUUCUUAAUUUACACAAUUUUAAUAAUAACUUUUACAAGUAUUUACAAAGCUAUCAUUUUUCCCUUAGUUUCAUUCUUCACAUUUGCUCUCAAGAGAAGCAUGAAUGUCCAUAAUGCUCAUCUUGCCUAUCAAAUGGUAGAACUGUAUAGGUUGCAAUGCUUUUGUGAACAUGUUUGCCAAUUGAUUCUUGUAAAAACAUGUUUUGGAAUGGUGAUUCUUUCUAAGACUUCAUCUUUAAUAAAUCGACAAUCUAUUUCUAUACGUUUAGUCCUUUCAUGAAAGAUAGGAUUUUUACAUAUAUGGAAAGCAAAUUAAUUGUCACAAUAGAAGUAAAUUGAUCUUUGAUGUGUAACACCAAAAUCUGCAAGUAAAGACUGAAUCCAUACGGUUUCACAAGAGACUACAACCAUGGUCUUAUAUUCAAAUUUUACGUAACUCCUUACCACUACAAAUUGUUUUUUGAAUUUCUAGCUAACAAAAGAAUCUCUUAUGAGCACACUAAGCUUGUAAUGGACCUUCUAGUGUCUUGACAACCAACUUAAUCAUUGUCAGUAUACACCUUCAAAUGCAAAUUAGAAUGAGAUGCCAAUAGUAUACCUGAUCUUGGUGCCUUGUUCAAAUACUUAAAAACCCUAUCAUUGGGUUUAUCCAUAAUCUGUGACAAGCAUUGGACAACAUAUGCUAUGUUGAGUCUAGUGAAAGUCAUGAGAUACAAAAGUUUCCUCACCAACUACCUAUAUGUAGUAAGAUUCACAAAGUUCUCAUUAAUAUUAUCCUUUGUAAUCUUAUGAUUAUAAUAUAUAGGUGUUCAAGCAGGUUUGCAUCCCAAAAAUCCAUAAUCAUUGAUUAAAUCUAAAACAUAUUUUCUUUGAAAAAGAAAUACAUUUUGUUGUUCUUUUUAUCUCUAAACUAAAGAAGUACUUAAUCUCUCUUAAGUCCUUGAGCUUAAAUUUGGAUUUGAAAUACUUUUUUACUUGCUCUGCUACUUUUGUUGUAGUACUGCCAAUCACUAUAUGAUCCACAUGAACCAUCAAAGAUAUGAACUCUCUUUUGUCAAUCCUUUUUGUAAAUAGAGAAUAGUCAAACUUGGAUUGUUGAGGCACUUGAACAUUUGGCUCAUUGGUUGGUGUAUGAUCCCUCUGCUUAAAGAAAUCUCCCUUCCCUCAAUUAUAAAAAAAACCUAGAUUGUAGAAACCCAAAAUCUAUAAGAGCAAUAGUAAAUUUAGAAUUCUAUUGUCUUAAAGCUUGCUUAAGCCCAUAUAAUGAUUAUUGACAUUAGCAAUGACUUGGUAAAAAGGUUUGCAAGAUGAUUGGUAGAGCGAAUUUGUUUAAUGUCAACUUGUCAACUUUCUUGGAGUUUGUGAGUAUAGAAAAAUUUCUGCAAGAUAUUCAUGGUUUUAUCACCUUUAAUAUAUCCUCCCUUGACUUGUGAAACACAAGUAACAUUAUCUUCAUAAAUUAUGGUGGGAGAAUUUGUAACUGGUGUUAAACAACAAGAAUUAUGAAUAUGCGUUAUAAUGGAUCUCAACCAAAUGCACUCUCUUCCAACUUCUUAUAGAGUGAUAAUUUUGGAGUGGUUAAAGGAUGUAGUUACUAGCGUUUUGCUUAGUAGAGCGCCAAGAAAUGGCAGUGCCAUUAUAGCAAAAUAAAUAACUGGUUUGAAAGCGAGCCUUGUACGGAUCAGAUUUAUAUCCCAUAUUAGCGUAUUUUACUAAACUAGAGUUAAUGAAAUCCUUGGAAUAAUAUAAUCCUCGAUCUAUGGUUUUCCAGAGAUAAUGAAAUAUAUGUUUUAUCCUAUUCUAGUGUCUUUGGUUUGGCUCAGAACAAAAAUGUGCCGACAACCAUAAGGGAUCAAAGCCCCAAUUACAUUAAGAUAUGGUACUUUAGGACUAAGUAUCUUUGCAUUAGGUUCUUUAGAAUGAAACAGGUCUUUUUGGGGAUCAAGAGACGUCACAACCAUAAGGGUGCUCAAUGGGUGAGCCUUAUCCAUGUUAAAAUGUCUAAGCAAUUUCUUAAUGUAUGUUGAUUGAUGGAUAAGUAAUCCAUUUGUUUUAUGCUCAAGCUUUAGACCAAGAUAAAAUUUGGUUUUACCCAAAUCUUUAACUUUAAACUCCUUUUUCAAAUAUUCAGCAGUUUUAGAUAACUCUUAUGAAGUUGUAAUCAAAUUCAUAUUAUUAACAUAAAUUACUAGCAUAGCAAAUCUGGUUUUCGAUUUCUUAAUAAAUACACAUGGGCAUAUAGGAUUAUUUUUGUACCCUUCCUUAAUUAGAUACUUGCUUAAGCGAUGAUAACACAUGUGACCAAAUUAUUUUAACCUGUAUAAAGACUUUUGUAAUUUUAUUGAGAAUAAGUUAUGGGGAGUGUAUGCUUUAGGAAUUUUGAACCCCUUGAGAAUUUUCAUAUAAAUAUCGGAGUCUAAUGAACCAUAUAGAUAUGCCGUCACAACAUCCAUAAGACGCAUUUUUAGUUUUUCAGAAACAGUUAGGCUAAUAAGGGAAUGAAAGAUAAUCAUAUCUAUCACAGGUGAAUACAUCUCAUCAUAAUCAAUCGUAGGUUUUUUAGAGAAUUCUUGGGCUACAAGUCAAGCUUUAUACCUCACUGCCUUAUUUUUCUCAUCUCGUUUUCGGAUAAAGACCCAUUUGUAUCCAACAAGCUUUACAUUGUCCAGGAUUCGAGCUAGACGUUCCAAAACCUCUUGUUUAGCUAAGAAAGCCUAUUUAGCCUAGAUUGUUUCCCCCCCCAAUUAGGCCAAUCUUACCUUUGAUGACAUUCGAUGAUAGAUUGUGACUCAAAAUCAUCAUUCAUAAUCUCAAGAGUAAUUCUGAGUGCAAAAACAUCAUCGAUGAUUAUCUUAUUCUGAUCCCAAUCUCAUUACAAUAUGUAAUAGAGAUCUUAGUAUUCUCAAGGUCGGCAAUCUUGUCAUGGGUUCAUGCCUUUUCAGUGGCAAUAGGCUCUUUUGGAGCAAGCUUAAUACCAGUCUCAUUUGGAGUAGAUUCUUGAUUCCUUCCUAUUUCAUUUUUGAGUUGCAGUGUUUUUUGAUCUCAUUAGUCUUCCACAGUUCAGGUAUAGGUUAUUUUGAUCCAUUUCAGCUUGUCUUUCAAGAACAACAAUCCUAGUUGGAGCAUUUACAGCUAGAAUAUGAGACUUCAUGACCUUGGUAGUAUCAUUAAAUGCGUUAAGAAGUCCAUUAGCAAUAGCUUGUAAAUUGAUUAUAGGUUGCACCUUGUUUUCACAUUCAGGAGUUUUAGGUAUAAAUGUGAUAAAAUUUUCUUAUUCUAGGAAAAUUUCUCUACUGGUUUAAGCUUCUUAGCCAUGGAAGCUUUAGAUAUACCAAUUGAUGGAAACACUUUCUCAUUGAAAUGACAAGUCGUGAAUCUGACGAUAAAAAGAUCACCCAUUGUUGGUUCCAAGAACCUAAUAAUGGACGAUGAAUCAAACCCAACGUAAAUGCCUAAAUGGUGUUGGGGACCCAUUUUAGUCCUUUUAGUAGUGCUACGGGCACUUGUACAACACAACCAAAGGUUUGUAAAUGUGAAAUGUCUGGUUUAUAGCCUAGAACCAACUACAUGGAAAUUAUAAAAGGUUAGUGGUGGGGCACAAUCUAAUUAGUGCCACUGCAUGCAAAACAAUAUGACCCCACACUGAAUAGUUGAGCUUUGUCCUCAAUAAAAGAGUACGAGAAAUAAUUUGGAUGCAUUUAAUCAGGGAUUCCGCCAAUCUGUUUUAAGUAUGAAUAUGUGGAACUAGGUGUUUAACCUCGAUUCCUAGUGAAACACAAUAGGUAUCAAAGUUAUUUGACGUAAAUUCACUAGCAUUAUCCAACCUUAUGCUCUUGAUUGGAUAAUUAGGGUAGUGUGCUCGAAGCUUUAUAAUUUGUGUAAGUAAACAAGCAAAAGUGACGUUGUGUGUAGAUAACAGGCCAACAUGGGACCAUUAGUAGGAUGCAUAUACUAACACUAUAAAAUAUCGAAAUGGCCCACUUGCUGGUUGUAUUGAUCCAUAAAUAUCACCCUGAAUUCUUUGUGAGAAUGAAAGGGAUGCAAGAUCAACCUUUGUCAUAAAAGGUUUAGUAAUGAGCUUUCCUUGUGAACAAGUUUCAUAUGUAUAAUCCUUGGACAAUAAAACCUUUUUAUCUUUUAAAAGGUAUCCUCUAGUAUUUUGGAUUAUCCUACGCAUCAUCAUAACUGUUGGGUGACCUAAAUGAUCAUGCCAAAGUCCAAACUCAUUAGGAUUUACUAGUUUUCAAGACAUGGUACUAUUAAUUAAAAUUCUACUUAUGCAAGUACAUAUCGUAAAGAUAGUAUAAUGGCAAAUAGAGUAUCAAUCCCAUUAAUAAUUGUUCUAAAAAUCUUACUAAGUAUUAAAAUUAAUGCAAUUUAAUUUUAUCCAAACAAUCAAAAAGCAAAAAAUUAAUUUAACUAAAAAUUAACAAAGCUAAUUAACAAAAAUAAAAAUCAAAACAGAAAUAAAAUCUUAAUAGAAAUCAAUAGAAAUAAGCCGAAGAUUAUAAUAUCCCUCAUACUUUAUCUAAAUCUUACUUUCUUCCUUAACUUAUUUCUAUGGGUUGAAUUGCUAACCUAGAGUCCUUAAUUAUUUAUAAAGGUCUCUCGACUCGUCUUAUAAAAAUAUCUAUUUUACUAAAACACUAUAUCUUUAUGUGAAUUGAAAUUAAAAUAGAUUCGUUAAGUUCAGGUUCUAAUUCUAGCUACAUAUGGCAUAUAGGUAUAUCCUUAUCUUAUACACAAAUCAAUUAAUAUGAUCAUAGGCUAUUAUAAUCUUAGUCUACACUAAAGUCCUUCUCUCGAGUUAUGUUUGGGGUUCUAAAUCAAUUUAAUUGGUAGCUAAGCAAUUAAAAACAUUAAGAAUAAAUUGGAAUAAACAAUUCAAUUUCAUUAAAAAUAAAGAAGAAAGACAUUAAAAAUUCAGAUUACAUGUGAGUUCAAUUGCAAUCUUAGAAAAAUAAAAUUAGCUACUCAUAAUUGCAAAGAUAAAUAAAAAUAUGUGAAGUUUAACCAUUAAGAGUAACAAGAAAAAUAAAAGCUAAGGAAGAAAACAAAACAGAUUUUUGUAGUCUUAUUCUCCAAGUUACAACCUCAACUUCUAGCUUCUUAAAUCUCUUAGGGUUGUCUGCUUUAACUUCUCCUAAAACAACCUUUUUAUACUCACAAUCUCAACCUAAAAUUCUGUAAGUUAACCUACUAACUCUAACUAUUGGGCUUAGAAGUGUUAUGAAGCCUAAACAUCAAAUAUGAUCCUUAAAAUUGCUAUUCCCAUAAUAUUAUGCCUAGUCAUUUUUUGAUGCAAUUGUCUCUAUCUUUAAAGCAGAACUAGGCAAAAUGGUCUCAUGAAUGUUGUAGCUCUGUCACUUAGCUUUCCAAUGGCUUAAUAAUCGCAUCAUUUGGACACAUGGAUUGCGCAUUAUGGUCAAAACACUAAAGCAUGUACAAAUAGAAUUUUGGAUCCUUCAAACACCUUUCUUUUAAAAAUUAAACCCUAUUCUCUUAAAUCUUACAAAAGCAUAAAAACUAAUAAAUAAUAGCUAAAUUAAAUUAAAUAAACAUAAAAUUAAAAUAACUUAAUAAAAAUAAACUAAUCACAAAAAUAACUAAAAAUAACUAAAUUCUAAUUAAAAUUUAAAUACUUAACUAACAUUUAAGAGCAAAAUGGGAUUAAAAUAAUUCUAUAAAAUAGAAUUAUCAGGUAGCGUAAGAUUCUGUUAGAUUAAUAAGCUCAAUAUGAGUAAGUCUAAGAUGGGUUGAAUUGGACUAUUUUGAAAAAUUUGAAUAACCUUUUAUUUUUAAAGAAAAUAAGAUCUCUUCUUUAAAUCAAAUGCUCAAUUUGAAAAUGAUUAAAUUAAUUGAUCCCUUGAUCAAUGAAAGAAAUUAGAGUUUCAAGUAAAUAGGAAGAGUGAUGAAAUUGACACAAGUAGUUUAUAGAAGUUCAGCCUCCUUGCCUACGUCCUCUCUCUUAGAUUCACUAAGGAGUUUGAAAUCCACUACUUUACCAUCAAGAUUCACUACAAUGCCUUAUGUGGAUCAAGCAAAACCAUUCAAGACAAUGCCUUUUUAUGGUUAAAGCACAACUACUUUACCAUUUCUAUUGGUUAAGGUAUAACCACUUAAGCAAGUACAACAAGAGGAAUAUAAGUGCAGCUAAUAUGCCUUAUAAAGGCUGGACAGAGAAUUUGGUACAGUGGUUAAAUGAAAAGAUAAGAACUUAAUAAAUGCUUGACUAGAAGACUUUUUGAAUUUUAGAAGAGUACAAUGGGUUUUGAAUGUAACUUGGCUAAAUCUUUUUCUUGAGUUGUGUUUUGAAGUCUUUUAACCUUCAUAAAUGUUGAAAAAACUUGUAUUUAUAGUUGUUGGAACUUCAAGGGUAGUUGGGAGUGCAUUUAAUGUGAAAAUAACAAUUCUUCUUUUUAUUCAAGGCUCCAACGGUCACAUCUUAUCGAUACAUAUGUGUAUGUAUCGAUACAUUACCUUUUAUUUUUGAAUUCCUGUUGAGAUGUAUCGAUACAUUUAUGCAUGCAUCAAUACAUUUGAACUUGCUCGCAACAGUUUUGACAUUCUACUUAAAAUGUAUCGAUACAUAUGUGUAUGUAUCGAUUCUUUUGAGAUAGUAAGCACUUCUAUUGAAAAUGUAUCGAUACAUUUCUAAAAUGUAUCAAUACUUCUAGGGUAGUAAGCAUUCUGUCUCAAUUCUAUCGAUAUAAUUGAGAAUGUAUUGAUAGAUUUGAGUUUGACUUUAAGUUUUGACUAUGUUAAAAAACUUGUAUCAAUAGAUGUUGGAAUCUAUUGAUAUUUAUCCAAAUGUAUCGAUACAUGAAGAACAUCUAUUGAUAGAUUUGGACCAGAAUGCAAUUUUCAGAGCCUUUUUCAUUUUUUUUCAAACUUCUUGACAUUGUUUUGGAAUGUGAGAGCUUUGAUCCUCUAUAAGUAAAAUGAAUUUUGGUCAUUUUAUUUUGUCAUUUCAAAAUAUAUAAAGAAGAAUUAUUUUAACAAUUUCCUCCUUUUUGAUAUGACAAAACCAAUAAGCAAAAUUUUGAAAUUUGAUUUGUUAGAUUUAUUUUAGGAUCUAGAAAUUUGUUUUAAUUUUAAGUCCUCCUCCUUAAAUUAUGCUCCCUUUUAACUCAAGGUCUCAAAGAAUUAUGUGAUUUAGGAAUUUACUCUCCGUUCUCCUCUUUUGUGUUAUAUUAAAAAAUGAAGAAUCAUACAAAGAGAGAGAGAGAGAGAGCAACACAAGUGAAUUAGGAAUUGUAAAUGGCAUGUGAGCAUAAACCAAUAAAAGAACUAGUCAUAAUCAGAAUGAACACAGGUGAUGAAGGUACAAAUCAAAAUGACAAUAAACAUAAACAACUGUGUUGAGUUAGAAUAAAUCCUAAACCAAAGUACAACCAAAAUUGGUCAUUGAAAACCAUGUAAUAGUAGUAAAAGAGAUCCGAAAUAAACUAAAAAAAUCCAGUAAAUGUGCAAUGAUGAUCAUAAAGAGAAUGUGGCCAUCUAAUCUAACAAGGCAUGAAAGAGGAAGUGAGCAUCCAAUGUCCCAUGUGAAGAGCUCAAGCAAGUAGUGGAAAUUGAGCACAAAACGUAGUGAAUUGCUCCUUAAGAAGUUGCUGGCGAUAGAGAAGCUUUCGGUUCUGAGCCUCUAAGGCAUCCAACCUAUGAACAACACAAGCAUCCAUAGAUUCCAUAAAAGAUAACAAUCGAGAAUAGGCUUGCCCAUUAUCAAAGGUGGUGGACAUAAAAGGGUAGCUAGGACCGAUACUAGGGUGAGCACUUGGACCGACUCUAGGGGUAGCACUAGGAAUGACGCUAGGCUUAGCAAAGGUGUUCUCAUGAUCCUCAUCUCCAGCAAACUUAGGGUCAUUGACUAUUUCUUUGCAAACCUAAGAGUUAUUAACAAACACUAGUUAUUGACAAACACGAAGCCAAGCUUAUUGAUGGCAUGCUCAUUGAUCUUUAUGUGCAUCGCAUGUUGCUUAGGUGGAUCACACCUAGUGUUGAUGCCUAUAGAGUUGAUGAUUGCAUUUAUCACCAUGCCAUAUAGAAGUGUCUUCUUAGAUUUGGCUAUGAUUUUUAACAUGUCAUCAAGAAUAAACUUGGCUAUGUUGGCACGCUGGUUGCGUUUGAUGCAGUACAAAAACUAGAAAUCCUCACUCUUGACGGUAGAAUAAUUUGUGCUGUGAAGGUAAAGAGCAAGUGAGAUGAUAGGGUGGAGAAUGCGAUCAUAAAAUGAUAAAUGUUUGACAUUGGUCAUGUUUUCCUUACUCGUGGGAGGAUAGGUGUAAGUAGUGGAUAAGAUUUCUUGUGACAUGACACCCUCAACAUAUUUUAAAUCACCUUGACGAAUCUUGAAGUCUAGAAUAGAAUCGAGUGUGUGCUGCGCAACCAUAAUUUUCUUGCCCAUGAUAUAAGUACGGAACCUAUUAGUGUGCUCUAUAGGUUCACUAUCCUCAUAGUCUUGAAAUUUUGUAGUGGCAUUGAAAUAAAAGAAUCGGACAAGAUCGACAUAAUAAAUUUGGUUCAUUGACAGAUAAUUGAGCUAGUCUAAUUCUAAAAAAUUAUCAAUAUAUGGAAAAUUGAUGUUAACAAGAUAGUUGAAGUCAAUUACUUGUCCUGGCUUGACAUCUCGCUUAGCAAAAUCCUUGUUGAAUUGCCGCUCCAAGGAUGGAUGAGAGGAAUUCCACUUGAAAGAGCAGUCGUCAGAGUGUGGCGUCGGCAGUGGUGGAGGUUGGGAGGAAGGUGUCACGACCUGGAACCUCCCUCAGGCCCAUGACAAUAGCCGCGACGUCCCGAUUGACACUCAUUAUCCGGAAUGCCAACCGGAACCCCGCAAGGCUUACAUAUCAGUUUCUUUCAUUUUCUAUGAGCAAUCAUUGUUAAAUAUCGAGUUUUUAGAGAAUAUUUACUAUUUUAGAUAAAAAACAAUCAAAAUAAAAUUUUCGCCACACAGGGGUAUUUUGGUCAUUUUUUCUCAAAAAUUUCAAAACUGGCUAAAACGUAAUUUAUAAGUACAAAAUACAUAAUUCAUAUUCAAAAUGAGUUUAAAAGUCUAAAAUCUUCAUUUAAAACGAAAUUACGGUUAUUUGAAUAUAAUAAGAAAAUAAAAGAAAUAUUAAGGGAAAUAUUUUAUUUUCUUAUAAAACAAUAUUUAUAGAGUUAUACGUNNNNNNNNNNNNNNNNNNNNNNNNNNNNNNNNNNNNNNNNNNNNNNNNNNNNNNNNNNNNNNNNNNNNNNNNNNNNNNNNNNNNNNNNNNNNNNNNNNNNNNNNNNNNNNNNNNNNNNNNNNNNNNNNNNNNNNNNNNNNNNNNNNNNNNNNNNNNNNNNNNNNNNNNNNNNNNNNNNNNNNNNNNNNNNNNNNNNNNNNNNNNNNNNNNNNNNNNNNNNNNNNNNNNNNNNNNNNNNNNNNNNNNNNNNNNNNNNNNNNNNNNNNNNNNNNNNNNNNNNNNNNNNNNNNNNNNNNNNNNNNNNNNNNNNNNNNNNNNNNNNNNNNNNNNNNNNNNNNNNNNNNNNNNNNNNNNNNNNNNNNNNNNNNNNNNNNNNNNNNNNNNNNNNNNNNNNNNNNNNNNNNNNNNNNNNNNNNNNNNNNNNNNNNNNNNNNNNNNNNNNNNNNNNNNNNNNNNNNNNNNNNNNNNNNNNNNNNNNNNNNNNNNNNNNNNNNNNNNNNNNNNNNNNNNNNNNNNNNNNNNNNNNNNNNNNNNNNNNNNNNNNNNNNNNNNNNNNNNNNNNNNNNNNNNNNNNNNNNNNNNNNNNNNNNNNNNNNNNNNNNNNNNNNNNNNNNNNNNNNNNNNNNNNNNNNNNNNNNNNNNNNNNNNNNNNNNNNNNNNNNNNNNNNNNNNNNNNNNNNNNNNNNNNNNNNNNNNNNNNNNNNNNNNNNNNNNNNNNNNNNNNNNNNNNNNNNNNNNNNNNNNNNNNNNNNNNNNNNNNNNNNNNNNNNNNNNNNNNNNNNNNNNNNNNNNNNNNNNNNNNNNNNNNNNNNNNNNNNNNNNNNNNNNNNNNNNNNNNNNNNNNNNNNNNNNNNNNNNNNNNNNNNNNNNNNNNNNNNNNNNNNNNNNNNNNNNNNNNNNNNNNNNNNNNNNNNNNNNNNNNNNNNNNNNNNNNNNNNNNNNNNNNNNNNNNNNNNNNNNNNNNNNNNNNNNNNNNNNNNNNNNNNNNNNNNNNNNNNNNNNNNNNNNNNNNNNNNNNNNNNNNNNNNNNNNNNNNNNNNNNNNNNNNNNNNNNNNNNNNNNNNNNNNNNNNNNNNNNNNNNNNNNNNNNNNNNNNNNNNNNNNNNNNNNNNNNNNNNNNNNNNNNNNNNNNNNNNNNNNNNNNNNNNNNNNNNNNNNNNNNNNNNNNNNNNNNNNNNNNNNNNNNNNNNNNNNNNNNNNNNNNNNNNNNNNNNNNNNNNNNNNNNNNNNNNNNNNNNNNNNNNNNNNNNNNNNNNNNNNNNNNNNNNNNNNNNNNNNNNNNNNNNNNNNNNNNNNNNNNNNNNNNNNNNNNNNNNNNNNNNNNNNNNNNNNNNNNNNNNNNNNNNNNNNNNNNNNNNNNNNNNNNNNNNNNNNNNNNNNNNNNNNNNNNNNNNNNNNNNNNNNNNNNNNNNNNNNNNNNNNNNNNNNNNNNNNNNNNNNNNNNNNNNNNNNNNNNNNNNNNNNNNNNNNNNNNNNNNNNNNNNNNNNNNNNNNNNNNNNNNNNNNNNNNNNNNNNNNNNNNNNNNNNNNNNNNNNNNNNNNNNNNNNNNNNNNNNNNNNNNNNNNNNNNNNNNNNNNNNNNNNNNNNNNNNNNNNNNNNNNNNNNNNNNNNNNNNNNNNNNNNNNNNNNNNNNNNNNNNNNNNNNNNNNNNNNNNNNNNNNNNNNNNNNNNNNNNNNNNNNNNNNNNNNNNNNNNNNNNNNNNNNNNNNNNNNNNNNNNNNNNNNNNNNNNNNNNNNNNNNNNNNNNNNNNNNNNNNNNNNNNNNNNNNNNNNNNNNNNNNNNNNNNNNNNNNNNNNNNNNNNNNNNNNNNNNNNNNNNNNNNNNNNNNNNNNNNNNNNNNNNNNNNNNNNNNNNNNNNNNNNNNNNNNNNNNNNNNNNNNNNNNNNNNNNNNNNNNNNNNNNNNNNNNNNNNNNNNNNNNNNNNNNNNNNNNNNNNNNNNNNNNNNNNNNNNNNNNNNNNNNNNCCCCUACACUCCAAAAAUCACCAGAAUUAAACUUUUUCACUUCCUAUCAUUAAAUUAUACUCCAAAUAGUUAAUCUUGGUCAAAAAUUUCACUCCAUGAUCAAAUUAUUAUCUUAGGUGGCAAAAUGACGAUUUUGCCCUUGAACAUCAAAAUUUCCAAUUUUACCCCAAAUGAACUCUCGAACUCCGAACAAUCAUUUUUGUCAUUCUUGGACUAUAAAAUAUUAAAUUUCAUCAUACAAUUUCUAUUUGAACUAGUUCGAGGUUAAAUCAAUUUAAGUGUACCGUUAGGUACAUUAUCAGGUUUCAUCUAUUCUUAGGUGCUUUUCUAGCGUAAUAACAUGCUACUCAAUGCAUGUAUGUCAUGACAUGUAUUUAUAGGGUCGGGUUUUACAGAAGGAGUGGCCUCGAAAGUGGAAGCCUUACUAUGGUUGGCGGUGGAUUUCGUAUGUUUGGGAUGAGAAGCCAUUUGAAGAGGAUUGGGGAAGAAAACGAUCAGUGGAAACUGUUAUGGGGUUGGAAAGAUGAUUUAAUAAGACAAAUUUGGUUGAAAAUGUAACCAAUUUUAAAAAUCGAAGGAAGGGAGAAGUUAGGGUUUUAAAAUUGGGAUUUUGGGUAGAAUGUGAUGAAAAUUUGAGAAAAAAAAUUUGUGAGUAAUAAGAGGAAAUAAAAACAGUUUAAUCGAUGCAAAAUUGAAUGAAGAACAUAAAGAAGUUUGUAAGGUUGAGAGAAUUUGGAAAGGAGAGACGAGCGGUUAGGGUGAAAAUGAGUUGUUGGGUUUUUAAAACCCCAAGAUGUAUCGAUACAUAGGCACAUUUAUCGAUAUAUUUGAGGUAGAAUGUUUUAUUUUUGGCUACUGGACGAAAUGUAUCAAUACAUUUGUAUUGUAUCGAUACAUGUUCUUGAAUGUAUCGAUACAUAUACGUAUGUAUCGAUACAUUUAACACGAGAUUUUAAUGUUGGCUACUGGACGAAAUGUCUCAAUAGCAUGGACAAAUUUAUCGAUACAUGUUCUUCAUGUAUCGAUACAUGGGGUCAUGUAUCGAUACAUAAGGUUUUGUACCUUUUAACAAAAUGCUUUUAACUCCAAAAAUCUAUGAUUUGGUCCAGAUGUUUGAUAUAAACAAAAUAAUGUGAGGUUUUAAGUUUGAAAGUAUUGUUAAGACAAGUUUGGAACAUGUGCAAGGGAAAUUUGAGGAGAAAAUUGAGAAUUUUGUAAGAUAAAGUCUUGGUUCAUUCAUCCACUGUCCCAUAAACCUUAAGAAUCAGAUGGCCAUGGCAUGAAUGAAAAAAUGUUAUGAACAAGCAGGGUCAUUAAUGCCAAGAAUCAUUCAAAAACUUUGCAUGAAGUCAUUCCAAACAUGAAUACAACUAAUCAUCAAGCAUGAUAUCAAGAAUGAAUUUAGACAUGAAUGCAGCCAACCAUCAAAGGUACCCAUAGGCCAAUUUGUUUUUAUAUUGGGUUUAUCAAAACUAGUUCACUUCUAAUCUUGCAGCAUUGUUCUCUAUUAAGCAUUUUGUAAAGAUGUUAGCCAAUUGAUCUUUUGUACCUACAUACUUAAGGACAACAUCUCCUUUUUGAACAUGAUCUCUAAUGAAGUGAUGUCUUAUUUCAAUGUGUUUAGUUUAGAGUGAUGGAUGGGAUUCCUUGUGAGAUUUAUGGCACUAAUAUUAUCAUAGUUUAUGGGAAUUCUGUCGAUAGCUAGUCCAUAAUCUUUUAAUUGUUGUUUCAUCCAUAACACUUGAGCACAACAUGUCAAGCCUUACUCUAUUAUAUACUUGUCAUGUCAUUCAUGUACUUGAUAGCUUAUCUACAUACUGGGAUGCCUCGAAGAAUCGUUAAAAGUCGGUAUCGUACCUAGUGGUACAAUUAGAUCGAUUAAAAUCUCGAACUAGUUUGAAUAGAGAUUUUAGAAUGUGUUUGAGAGUUAUUGAACCUUAGAAUGUCUUAAUAUGGUGAUUCGGAGUUCGAGAAUUAAUUUGGAGUCAAAUUAGGAAUUUUCAUAACGUAGGGGCAAAAUGGUCAUUUUGCCACUCGAGUGCAAAAUGGGAAUGUUGGACGAAAUUUUUGACCAAGUUUGACUAAUUGGAGCAUGAUUUGAAUUUGAGAAAUGAAAACUUUUAAUUUCAACAUUUUUCCAAACAAAAAGUUAAAACAAUCAUUUUAGGUGUCCACGAGGACAUAAUUGGAAUUUUUGAAAUUUACACCACCAUAACACUUGUCAAGCCCAUGAAUUUUACCUAUUAUUAUUUUAUACUUUGGAUAAUUAAGAGAUUACAAGUGGUGGUGAGAAAAUGCUUAAUUGUUAAGUUUUAACCAUGGACCAAUCACAUGGUGACACAUGUCAAGCUUUAAUAUUUUUAUAAUUUCCUUUAUAAACUCAACAUAAACUCUCCCAUUUCACUCUUCAUGGCCGGCCAAAGCAAAGAACAAAGAGAAAAGAAUAUAAACAAACCCNNNNNNNNNNNNNNNNNNNNNNNNNNNNNNNNNNNNNNNNNNNNNNNNNNNNNNNNNNNNNNNNNNNNNNNNNNNNNNNNNNNNNNNNNNNNNNNNNNNNNNNNNNNNNNNNNNNNNNNNNNNNNNNNNNNNNNNNNNNNNNNNNNNNNNNNNNNNNNNNNNNNNNNNNNNNNNNNNNNNNNNNNNNNNNNNNNNNNNNNNNNNNNNNNNNNNNNNNNNNNNNNNNNNNNNNNNNNNNNNNNNNNNNNNNNNNNNNNNNNNNNNNNNNNNNNNNNNNNNNNNNNNNNNNNNNNNNNNNNNNNNNNNNNNNNNNNNNNNNNNNNNNNNNNNNNNNNNNNNNNNNNNNNNNNNNNNNNNNNNNNNNNNNNNNNNNNNNNNNNNNNNNNNNNNNNNNAAUUAAGUCACAAUCAAGCUCAUUGAGGUACUUUGGUGUAUUUGGAAUAUUGGAAGUGUAAUGAAUAUAUUUGAAGUUGAAUCGAAUGUUUUGGUUAAUUCAACAGUGUAUAGUUCAAGUUAGGUUGAAUACAAAUUCAGUCUGAUCAUAAUUGAACCCACGUAGAACACCGUCUUUAAGUGAUUAUUCGAACAAUUCUCAUUCAAUUCAUGCAUUCAUAUAGAGCCUGAAAUAGUUUUAUAACAGUUUGGCACAAAUAUAUUGAAUUACAUGUCGUGUAUUAUGUAUAGGUGGUGAGCCCUUUGAUAAGGGUAAAGAUAUCGUACCCAAGGACCAAGAAUAAGAGUACUCUAAACUCCCGCUAUUGUGAGUAAUCAAAUAUUUACCUUAACUAUCUAAAGUAGUUUAUACUCGUUUUUAUGAUUUUAAAGAAUAAUGAACUUAAACUGUAGAUUUUUUUGUUUUAUAAGUUAAGUGUUUGUUAAAUGAAUAAGAUUUAUAAAUUGUUUUGCAAUUUAAUGACGAUUUUGGAAAUUGAGUAGAUGGAGACUAUAUACUUGUGUUAUCUAUAUAUAUAUAUAUGGUUUGAAUUGAUGGCUUAUGACAAUGUGAUGGCAUGAAUGGUUGGAUUUGUGGUUUAUGGAUUAUAUAAACUGUUUUGUUUUACCUUGACAGGCUGGGUAAUAUUAUAUUAGCCAUGUCAUGUUGUUGAAAUUUUUAUUGAUUUGGUGGGUUAUUUGAUUAACUUACUGCAGUGGGCGAGUUUCCGUGGACCAGCCUAUUAGAGGGGUAUGACAAACCCCGUUAUGUUUUACCUUAGUACGAGAGGUGCGGAGGGUAUCUCCUAAGGUAAGUUUAGAGUUCACUUCACGCCGAACCACCACGUGAGGAUGAAACUCAGCCAACGCCAAGGAAUGGCUAUAUUUUAAAAGUAAAAACAUGUUUUAUGGGUAUAUGUCAUUUUCACAUCCUUGGAGGACUCGGUUGGAUGUCCGGGCCAAGGUGUCACCAAGUAUGAGUUUUGGUACAAGCCAAGUUUUUAAGAGAAUCAUAAGCCUUGUUGAUUAUUUCGAUGAAAUGUAAUUGUUUUAUAUGAAUUGAAAUGAGUUUUAAAUGUUAUGAAUGAUAUUAUUAUGGGAUGAUUUAACUGUCUCCAUUUACUCGACUUUAGAUGUUGUAGAUGAACUUUGCUUACUCACUAGGUUUGUAAAAACUCACCCUUUCUUUUACCCAUUUCAGGCUCAAGACGAUCUGUAAACAGCCGAUUUUGUCGAGGGUUGCUUUUGGAUUUGCAUCCUUAGAAAUCGAAGGUCUACAGUCUUGUAUAUUUUUUGUUAUUUGGGGGUCCCACAUGUCAUUGUAGAAUAUUUUUGUAUACCUGGUUUAGUGUGCUAUUAUAUAUAUGAAUUUAUUUUGCUGUUAUGCUACAAAAAUUGUUUAUGCAGGAUUCUAUAAAUAUUGUUUUAUAAGAAAAUGAAAUAUUUUAUUUAAUAUUUUUAUCUACUUUGAUUAGUCAUAAUUUCGUUUUAAAUGUAUGAUUUAUAUUACUAAAAUUAUUUUUAAAUAAGAGAUGUAUAUUUUUCGAUCGUUUGCUGUAUUUUCACCAGGUUUCAAAAUUUUCAAAAAAAAAAAAAAAUCAAAAUACCCCUGUGUGGCAGAAAUUACUUUUUGUUUGUUUUUGAUUUAAAAAUAGUUUAUAUUCCCUUAGAACAUAAUAUUUAGUAACUGUUGCUCACAAGGGAGACGUAAAAUUGAUGCAAGAGCCUUGCAAGGUUUCGAUUGACAUUCUGAGUAAUGAAUGUCUAUCGAGACAUCGCGGCGGUUGUCACGGGCUUUAAGAGAGUACCGGGUUGUGACAAUUCGAUUAGUAUCAGAGCCUUUGGUUUUAAAGUUAUUUUUUUAAAAAAAACUACAGUGUCAAUGUGGCCUCAAGUUAGAUUAGAUUGAGUUGAAUGCAUAUAAUUUGAUAUAGAACCUAAAGUUAUCUAAAUUCGUUUUGUCUCUUCUUAUAAAUCAUUAUGCCUCCUCGACGUGGAUGCCCACCUCUCUCUAGAUCAGUCGAGAGGGAAAGAGGCCAUUCUCAACAUCGUUAGCCAGAUCCUGUAGAGGGGGAAUCGACUAUGUCUACCUUUCGGGCAGCACCUGCUGCUGAACAGACUGAGACUCCUCCAUAUACUCCACCUUCUCCACCAC